CUCUCACAAAGUGGAGAGGUCGUGGGUUCGAAACACGUCAACAGCGGAUUGUUGAUAUAAGUUUCCACACGUAAUUUAAAUGGGGUAGGGGUCCCCACAACCUCGCUUGCCAACCAAAAAAAAAAAAAAAAAAAAAAAAACUUAAAGUUCCGACGAAUUAAAGACAAUUUGUAAGUUUCGUAAAUUUAUAUAUUUAUAAAUAAGACAAUUUGUAAGAUAGAACUUCAGUUUCCGAAGGAUUUAUAAAAUAAAACUGCAAGUUCUGAAUUCAAUAAAAAUCGGAACUAUAAGUUUAGAAAAAAUAAAUUUGACGAAACUUCAAUUUCUGUUGUAUAUUAUCGACAUAUCAUUUUGGAUGAUAAUUUCUCUCUCUUUGAAAUCACAUGAUGAGUUCAGCUGCCAUUACUUGAAUCUUGACCCUCUUUAUAAAAAAAUAAAAAUUCUUGACCCACCUUCUCAUCGGAGAGGUUUUUGUUUUUUUUGUUUGGAGGGCAUUUGGCACUACUGCCUUUCCCGAAUGCCCUCCAUUGGGAUUGCUCUUAUGAUUAUUUGGAUAGUGAGUUAGUGACGUCAUCCGUAGUGACUUGUUGAAGACUCUUCCUCUUCCUAUUCCUCUUCUCUUCUCCCUCUCUUUAUUUUUUUGCAUUUUCAGUCUUUUUUUUGCCCUUCAUCUUCUCUCUCUCUCUCUCUCUCUCUCUCUAAACUCUGAAUUAGUACGAUUUUAAGCCAUUAAAGCAGCAAACAACAACUUCUAUCUCUAGCUCUAGCUCUAGCUCGUGUUCAACAAUGGUAAUUCUUUUUUUUUUUUCGCGAAAUUACCUUAAAAGUACGGUUUUAUUUUUCUCUUACAUAAGUAAUUUUCUUCAUUCCCACUCACAUUAGGGAAUUUCAUUAUAUAUAUAUACAUUUAUGUAGUUUACUUUAAAUCACCCAUAAACAAACACAAACAAACCCCGAACUUGAUCGGUUUAAUCAUGAUUGUUAUAACCCUUAUUUGCUUCCAAACCUCGCAAUUUUAUGAUACAAACAAACAUUCCGUUUACGCCACAAAUUUGUUUCUUCUGCUCUUACAGAAUGUAUAGAUUGUUAUUAGGAAUUUUGGGGGUUAGAUUUAUUUACAAGAUAAUAAUCUUAAGUAACUGAGAUGUUUUGAGUUCUUUUUAUGAAUGUAGGUAAUAAUAGGAAAGUGAGUAAAUGUACUAGUUGUAUUACCAUAUAUGUAGUACUCGAAAAUAAUGUUUUUUUUUUUCGCAAUCCACAUGGUGAUGUAUAUGUGCAUUUUUAAUGGAAGCCUGCAUUGAGAGUACUUAUGUAUGUUGAUACAGGUUUUGACUAAAUGUUCUAUCUCAACUUUUAACAAAAGAGUGAAGACACUAUCUGCAGACCAAAGAAAUGAAAUUAAGAGAAUGGGUUUUGGUUAUAUACUUGAAAUGCAUACUCAAAUUUUGAGCAAAAAUCUUUUAUUUGAGUUGAUGGAUAGAUGGAAUUGUACGAAGAAACAAUUUGAAUUUCCCCCAGGAAACAUUACAAUCACCUUGAUGGAUGUUGCGCUCAUCCUAGGACUUCGAGUGACUGGUGAGCCUGUUGUUUUAAAACAAGACUCACCGAUCUCAGUUUUGGAAAAAGAGUAUGGUGCCACCAUAAAAAAAAGGAGUAUCAAGGUAGCUUCACUCGAGAAGAGAUUAGAGUCUCUUAAAAAGGUUGCAACUGAAGAUUUUGUUAGAAGUUUUCUGUUAUUUACUUUUGGGGUAUUUCUUUUUCCAAAUGAUAAUGGAACAAUAGAUUCUCGUUAUCUUUCUUUGAUGGAGGACUUGGACCGGGUACCCCAAUUUUCAUGGGGAAGUGCUGUCCUUGAAGACUUGUUCAAUUGGUUCUAUAAGUUUAAAAAUGACAAAAAGUUGACGUACAUGGGAAGCUGUCUCAUAUUUCUCCAGGUAAGGAUUCACAACCAUUGCUUUGAUACACAUCUAUUAGAUAGUUAUAGAUACUAUAGUGAUUCAUUUGAUGCUUUCGUUUCAGCUAUGGUCUUAUGAACAUAUUGAUGUUGCUCGUCCAAGUUCACUUAAGUGCAAUUUGGUAUUUCCACGUUCCUAUAAGUGGAAAAAUAGUAGCUGUAGGCAAAGGGAAUGGUUCACACCAAAAUUCAACGAACUGCAAGGAAAUCAGGUAUUUAGAUUUUUUUUGGUUGGAAUCAGGUAUUUAGAUUUUUUUUGGUUGGAAUCAGGUAUUUAGAUUGCCAUUACUUGUGCAUCUCAAUUGAUAUAAGUCAAAAGUGCCGUUGACCAUCUAACCCGCUCCAGUGUGACUUAUGGCUUGAGACAAAACGAUCGUUUAGAGGGGUCAAUUUUUAAAUGUCUGAAAGUGUGUGGGCUUUCCCUUUGUGACCGAGUUGAUCAUGGGUUCACUUCCACAUUACCUCACCUGCAGGCUUGUGAGACUAUAUAUUUGUCUUGAUUCUAAAUGCAAGACAACAAGAACAGAAUUCUGUUGGCAUUUACAUCCAGAUAAUAUAUCGGCGUACAUAUUACAUUGUAACAACUUUUGAGUGAAUAAUCUCUGGUUUUACAGAUUAUUAAUGUUAUAACUAUUAAAUGUUUUUUUUUGGCUCAGUUAGUUAUCCUUGAGCUAGUACGCAAUUUUUAAGGUCAACAUAGUAAAUAUACUUGUUUUGUUUCAGAUAGUUUGGAAGCUAGAACCAACUCCCGAAGAAGCUAAAAUAGAUAUCAUCAAAAAUUUGUUGGAAAUGCAAAAUGUGGCGUUGGAGAUUUCGUCAACAUCACAGUACUCUACGAGCAACAAAGAUGAUAUGGUUUGUUGUUUGUUUGCUUGCUUGCUUAAUUCAUGUUUCUCACAGUUGCAUUUGUCCCUUAAUACAAAACCAAAUAUGUUCAUACAGGAUGGAAGCAUUAGAGAUGAAGCUUUCAGAUUAGACAAGCAGCUGAUAGAGUUGGAUGUUUCUGAAACUGAUACAAUUGAAGAUUCUGUAGAGGUGCAAGAAGACAAUUUGGAGCUUCCAUCUACACCACACUAUUCUUGUACAAAUGAUACUGCUGGACAUGUGAUGAUAUUUGUUCCUUCCUCAUGUUCUAUACUUGUUUACAUUCCAGAUCCAAUACUGUUGACAUUUAACAUAAGUUGUUAAUGCAGGAGGAUUGUGUGAGAACUAAGAAACUGUUAGAAGAGCAGAUCGCAAAAUUAAACAAGAAGAUUGACAAGAUGAAAUUAAAGAAGGAGUGUGUGUUAGAAGACCAAGUUGUAAAGUUAAACAUGGAGAUUGAUGAGUUGAGAAUCGAAAAUACUACGUUGAAAAACCAGAUUUUGUCUUCGAAUAAAUUGUUUGAUCGUAUGGAAGAGAUUGUGAUUGAGGGUACGACGAGCGGAACUUUGAGUAAUGUUCUUAUCCUGAACGAAGGUACAGGAGUUAUUCAGUUAUUGAAAAUAUGUUCUCUACAUUUUGGUCCCCUUGUCACUGAUUGUGAGUUUCUUAGUACUAAUUUGGUUUCUUGCAAUAUUAUAUGCUUCACAUUAUCGAGUUUGCAAUUUUGGGGAAUUUGUCACAUUUUAUCAGCAUCGUACAACUCAUGUGGUGUAUGGUGCAGACCUUAUCCAAGUACAUGUGUUAAAAUUAAAAUAGAGUGGGUAUCAGAUGAUAUAGCCCUGUAUUUGCACGUACACCAAAACUAGUCACUCUUUGAUUGGGUUUUUCUCUUUUCUAUUGGUUGAAAUGUCAUAAUACUUAGUGUUAUUUGUUUGAUUGUAUGUUUGAAAGACAUGCGUUUGAUUGUAUGUUUUAAGGACAUGCAAUUGAUGCCAUGUUUUUCUAAAAGCCGCAGUUUCACUUUUUUUUUUUGAAAAAAUUAGGGGGGAUUUACACAGAGUUUCACUUCUUUGUAUCCUAAUGUAUUUAUCUUCUCAAGAUUGCUGUUGAUCGAUAACUGCAAAGGCAUGCCCUUAUAUUAUAUCACCUGUCUAUCCCCUGAAAGACUUGUGUUUUGUGGUUUCCUGAAGAACGAUGGCUGUACGAAUCGUUCAACCCUGUCUCAAAUUAUUUUGGGCAAGAACGAUGACUUGUGUUUUGUGAUUCAAAAGUUCUACCACAAUGUCUAAAUGAUUUCUCGUGGCAAGGAUGCACAUAUGUGAAUGAUUGAUAGUAAAAUGUUUUGAAGACUAUGCAUCAUUCUCUCUGACAAUUCAAAAUUUCUUGCCCAAAUAAUUUGAGAGACCUCUGUUACCGUUUUUGGCCUGUUUACUAAAGAGACCUCUGUUACCAUUUUGCCUGUCAUAGCUGCAGAUGAGUACCUUGAGGAUCAGAACCGUGCAACUCCCUUUUGCAAGUCAAUUUGAAAUGCUAGUCAGCAUGUUUGUUCUGCUCCUUUUAUGUUGGAGAGGUAAUACUUCAUUCUUUGUUCUAAACAUAUGAAGAUCCAACCAUAUUAUUUCCUCUUCUGACUAGUAUCGGUUUUAUUUUCUUCAUAAAGCUGCAUAUACAUUUGUAUUUCUUGAAUGGAUUAUGUCGAGGGUUCAACUAUUGAGAUUUGUUAUAACUUCUGUUGUUUUUCUUGUCACAGUGUUUCCCGACUUACUCCAGUUUUGAAUUAAGCAUACAAUAAGAUGCAAGAAGUCCUGGAAAAUAUGAUUGCGAUUGUGCAUAUGUGAUUUAAAUUAAGGGAUCAACGGUCCUUCACAAUUCAGGUAAAUUAGGCUUAGGAAAAAGUAUUAUGUAGACUUCAAGAAAUUUAAAGUCUAUUUGUGCAAAAAUAAUAAUGAUAAAUAACCCAAUUAUAUCCAAUUUAAAAUUGAUUAAAUAUAAUUGUUCCAUGCGAAGCACGUAAUUAAGGUAUUGGGAUGCUGAAUUAGUGGAGACAUUGUUUCACAGGAAGCAUGUUAAACUUAAUAGUGCGCUCGACAGUUCAAAUGUGGUUAGAGUGAAUUCAUGAAUCAAAACUCUAUCCUUUUUGCUACUACAAUUUAUUCUCCCUUUACUCCCUUUCUAUAGAACACUACUACACAAAUCCAAUACGCAGACCUUGAGAAUUUCAUCCCGCCUUAUGUAUCCAAUCAUGUUCACCAGUCUUCAACUCACCGGAUCCUGCAACCAAUUCAGAAAGUAUAUCGUUUGUGAUUAAUAACACUAACAAGCAUGACAUGUUUUCUAUAUUCUUUCUGUUAAGUGAUGCAUGCUGAGAACUCUAUAAAAUUAACUGAACCGUCAUUAUUGGAAUCUAACAGCUUUAAAGAGAACUGAAAUGAUGUAUGGACAGGUGGGACUCACAUUGAACAAUCAAUGUCAGGCGAAAUCUCGAAGAGGAGAGAAACUCCGCACUCUUCAGCAAUCGAGUUAACUAGAUUGUAUUGAAUCCCUGGAACCAGUGGUGUGAAACUCUUGAUACAUGUGCAAGCUUGUUGGCGAUCAGGGGUGGAUGUGGCCAUGGCCAUGACCAUUCUGGCACCGUUGCAGCACUGUUGUGGCACAGUCAUUCCGCCAUUACGAGCAUAACCAAUGCAUGGCACCAAAUUUCUAAUGACUGAACCACAGGAGACGUAUCCCUCUGAUUGUUGAGGGAGCAACACCAACCAAAUGAGCAGGAGACACAUGAAUGCAAGAGCCUUAGCUGUGCCCAUGUUUGAUGCAAGCAUUACUUGAAGGCAAGUUAAGUUUUGAGUUCCUAACUCCUGAUCUUUAUGAAUGAAUAUAUACUGAUAGGAAAUGCAAUCCAGCUUUUACCAAAAAAAAAAAAUGCAAUCCAGCUACUUUCAAGCUUGUUAGAACAGUUUGUUUGGUAUUUCACGAGAAACAUAUCAUCUAGCUACGCUUGUUCAUCUUUCCAUGAAACAUAUAUAACUGCACUGAUAAAAUUAUAUAACCAUCAUGCAGAGCUCAUGCUGUCUCAAAACUUACCCUAUUAUAUGUUGUUGGAAUCAGUUGGUCCCUGGAUCAGGAACUCAGGAAGUCUUAUUUUGGUGGUCUUAACUUCCCACUGUACUACAGUUAAAUGACCUUAGUUACAUGUAUAUGCAAUUACCUUAGUUAAAUGACAUUUAUGCCUCUCAACUUCCAAGUACACUGACAUUUCUUCAUCAACAUGUAGUGUAUUCUUCAUCAACAUGUAGUGUAUCUCAUCAAUUGAUACUGGUACUUCAAUUAUUUGUUUUUGGUUUUCAUAAUCUUUUAAAUAUAUAUAUAUAUUUUUUUUUUGCUAAGUUAUAUUAAAUAGAAAGAGAAACUGAGUACAAAACAAAAGGUGAGAGAUAAUAAAUCUACCCCUCACCAAAAACCAGCAUACAAGAAAACUAUUCUAAACUAGACUUAAGAGCACUAGGCUCAUAGUCAGACUGUUUCUUCUUCACUUUGCUAGUGGGUGACUUUUUACCAUCUUUUCUCUUUAGAACAGAUUGCCUGUUCUCUUCCAAUGCUGCAAGUCUGGCUUUGAUUGCCAAAGCUUCUUGCACAACAAUGUCAGCAUCAUAAUUGGUUCACUGUCCAAAACCAGUAGUGCAUAAAGCCAAUGGCUGACUAUGGCUCCUAACAGAAUACUGAAUGUCAAUUCUCGGAUCCACCACUGCAAAGCCCACAGGUUCCAAUGGCUGCAAGGUAUCAUCCUCAACAUCAUUUCCCCAUCUUCCUAUGAUUCUUUCUUCUUUAGAAAUCAAUAGUUCUUGAUCAGGAGUUUUUCGCACCAAGUCUAGUUCUCCUUCUAGAGCUGUGAUAGAAUUGGGAUUAGCUAAACUGUUGUCUGGAGUGCCAACAUUUAUAGGGCUUGCGUUCCUAGGACUAGCUGAAUUAUGAACAAGAGUUCCUGGAGAUGACUCUAACUCACGCUCUAGAGCCUUGAAAGAAUUGGUUAAGGCUAAAUGGUUACCUGGAGUUGUAACAUUAGUAGGACUAACAUUCCGUUGUGUUCUUUGUGCAGCUGGGACAUUAAUGUGAAAACUUCUUUCUUGUUGUAGCUCAUUUGUAGAACUUGUAUCUUCCUUUGUUAUCAACUGUUGGUUAGCUUGAUUGGGAGUAGAUUCUUUUGUACCACUUGUACUUGCUCCAUUUUUGUUUACUUGUUCAAAGUUCUUUUGUUGUGUUGUCAAAGUUGCAGCAACAACUUCUUCUCUUUGUGAUCCAUUCUUGUUUCUUUUCAUCCUCCAAGGCUCUUGAUAGGUGUUCCUACGAGAUAAGGAAUCCUCCUUCCCUAUUUCUUUCCGCAACCCCUUACAUUCACUUUUUGAAUGACCAAUGGCUUGACAGUGAGGACAAAAUUUUGGCAACACUGGAUACACCACAUCUUGAAGGAACUCCUUACCAUCAUCUACUUCCACCAAGAUUUGAUUUGGUAGAGGUUUGGAUAAGUACAAAUCAAUCAACACAUUGGCAUAGUAGCCAAAUUCCCGUUCCACAGUGAAUUUGUCGACCCCAAUUGGGCAUCCAACUCCUUUAGCUAUGGACAUAAUACACUCAUACUCUCAGUAUUGUUGCCCUAAUUUUGGAAACCUUACCCAAGCUAGAGCUUUUGUAGUUCUUUGAACUUCCGGAUCAAAAUCUGGAGUCCAUUUUGUGAGUCUUAAGACUUGAUCAUUGAAUUUCCAAGACCCACCCAUCCAUAUUCUCAUCAAAUCCUCCUUAUUUGCAAAUCUGACCAUGAAAAAACCUUUCCCGAGAGGAAUGAUUUUCCAUACUCCUUCAAAUCAUCAAAUGUAGUCUGAAUAUUUGUUGUAUUUACUAUUUAUAUUGGUUGGUUUUAUAUGCCGAACUCAAUACUGAUAUAUCCUCUUCACACUAUCACACAAAACUUGUGGAGAUGUUUCUAAAGUUUUAUCAGGAUAUGUUUUCCUCUUCGGCUGUUCUAUAGAUUAGUCAAUGUGUUGUUUUCGGUACAUUUGGGCUUUCAAUAAUGUCGACUAACCAAAACUAAAGGGACUUUCACAUGACCAUCAAUACAUGUGGACCUUGUUGUUUCUCUCUUAGUGAUUAGCAUACUGUAUAUGCAUCUCAAAUUAUCAAAAGAGACUAUUCUACAGGUUCAAUGGGCUAUGCUCCAUUAUAUUACCUAAAACCACUCUUAAAACACCCACCCUCCCAGUAGAUGGGAUCAUUUUGUUUGUGCUGCUUUCUCUAUGAACUUGAGUGCCCUGUAUGGUUUAGUGAGCACCUCCCUCACUAAGCUGGACCACCAUCUUAUUCACAUAGGAUCAUUUGGUGACAACCUUCUUCUCUGAUUUAUAUUCGAUUUCAAUUAGUAAUGGGUUUAUUGAAAAAGAAAUUAGCAAAGGGUUGAUGUCCUGCAAUUGAACUUUUUUUUUUGCUUGGUCCUGCAAUUGAACCGAUUUUUAAGCUUUACUACCCUAGUACCCUUAACAAAUAACCUCAGUCUCGGCCGUAAAAAUAAGAUAAUUUCUGUGAAAUUGAAGAAGAUAAAACAUAAUAAUAGAUAUUGAUUAUUCAUAAAAACCCAAGGUUACAUAAACAGAGUGAACAUUAAUAAUUUCUAUCCAUGAUCACCACCUAAACUGGGACACAGUCGUCGGUUUUAUUUACUAAUGUUGUGCCCAGACCAGUACAUAGAAAAUCUCUUUGUGGCUUCCGAAUCUUAACGCACCCUGUAACAUGUAGUCAAAUAGUUAGAGCCAACAUAUAUAAUCAGAAAUCAAUCUUUUUAAUACAUGUCUUACCAUCUUAAAUUUUGUGGUAUAUAUAAAACAUAAUUUUAGGUUUUGACAUGCAAAAUCUUCCAACAGUUGUACUGUGGUAGAAAUUAAUAAAUGACUUGUAGCAUACUAAAACUUUCUAUGCAGUGGGGUGGUGCUAUAUAGAAGAGUUAGAGAGAGAGAGACAUACUUAGAGCAAUCAGUUGAAGGACUGAUUGGGUAUGGAAUGGAGACUCCACAUUUGUUAGGCAGAGAACUAACAAGCCCUUGAUUGAGUCCUUUGAUGGAGCUGGCAGUUGUCUUCAAGCAUCUGCAUGCAGUCUGGCGGUCUGGUGUGCUUGUAGCAGCAGCAUUAAUGGUCCUGACCCCGGUGCAACAGGCCGGAGGAACUGCCCCUCCAGUGCCACGGAGGUAGUUAACACAAGGAGCCACCUUGCUUGCUACAAAUCCACAUGUAAUGGUGGCUUCUGCACAAGAUGCACUCAUCACCAGCAUGCAUGCAACCAGAACACAUGUGAGCUUAAACAUCAUUGAACUUGCCAUGGUUACAAAAUAUGUUUGGAAGCAAGAUGAAUAUGCUUAAUUCUCUGUGAUAGAUUGUGUGAUUCUGAAAGCUAUGAGAAAUGGUGUUUAUAUAGAUAUCAUGAAUGGUGUAAAUGUGGUUUAGGUACAUAGCUAGGUGGACAAUUAUCGUGUCGUGUAUUGUUGUUAGUUGAAGUUAUUGAUGUAAGAGUGUCUAAUUAUCUUAAUUAUUGUACCUUCUUUCUAAUCUUAACAAAAACUUUUUCUUGUUUCUCCGUACUUUCGAGCGGCACUCAUUAUUGAAGCCGGUUUGAAAUGACUCCCAGGCUUUUUUGAUGUGUAAUAUUGUCUAUGAUUUCAACAUUUCAACAAGAAGUUCACAAUCUGUUUUAUGAAUGAAUGGUUGAGUAACAUGUCUGGAUAGAAAUUGCUGUCAUUGCGGAUGUUAUCUGAGGUUGAAUGGUAGAGAAUGCAGACAGAACUCACAAUGCCGGAGCUCCAACCUUCAAUAGCCGGUUUAUUUAUGUUAGAUGAACUGUGGGUUAUGACUUUCUAAUUAAGUGUUGUUAAUUUCAAACUCUGCAAUGAAAGAAGAUAAGUACCUUUCUUAAUAACUGUUGUUAAUUAUCUAUCUAAUCUUUUUUGCUUUGUUAAAAAUUGAACAUUAACAAAACUUUAAUGAGCUUCGGCAUCUUAUACACACAGGGUCAUUUGGUGCCAACCAUCUUCUAUCAUUUAGAUAUAGUAUCUGAUAUCAAUUACUUAAGCUACUGUUGUGUUCUGCCAUUGCACUGAAUUCAUGGUCUCAGACUCAGCGUAAUAGUAAGAAUUUUGCUGUGAAAUUCCAAGAAGAUGGGAUCAUAAUUGUAAAUAUUGAUGUAUCAUUAAAACAACAGGCUAGAUAAAAUGCGAAAACUUAAUGAUCGGAGACACACGACAUUCCUCUAAUCAGCACCUAAACUGAGAUAUAGACGUCCUUUUUAUUUACCUGUGUUAUCUCCGGUGCGUAGAAAUAAUGUUUGUCCCUUCUGAACCUUACCUCACCCUGCAACAAAUAUUUAAAACAAAAAUGUAAUUAGGAAACUUUUUGAUACCUGCCUUUAACUAUUGAAAUCAAGUGGAAAUCCUAGAACAAAAUUUCACACUUCUGACACUAGAAAACUUCAAUCCAUAUUGUGGAUUUGGUAAUUUGCGGAAUUUGACUGCAUUUAGUACUCUGGUAGAAAUUGUUAAAUGAGUCAUAGAAAAUGCUACAUCUUGAAGUUUAAAUUCAACUUGGUAGGGAUCAAGGUGCUAUAAAGAGUUAGAGAGAAACGUACUUAGAGCAAUCGGUGGAAGGACUGAGAGUGAAUGGAAUGUGGACUCGACAUUUGUUAGGUAUAGAUGCGAUAAGCUUGAUAUUGAGUCCAUUGACUCCUUUAGCAGCUUGCGUCAAGCAACUGCACGCAGUCUUGCGGUCUGGUGUGCUUUUAGCUGCAGCAUUAAGGGACUUGAUCCCAGCGCAACAAGGAGAAGGAACCGGCCCUCCAGAACCACUGAUGUAGUUUAAGCAAGGGAACAACUUGCUGAAUACAAAGUCACAUGUCAUGGCUUCUGCAGAAGGUGCACUCACCACCAAAGUGCAGGCAACCAACACACAUGUCAGCUUAAAGAUCACUUUACUUUCCAUGGCUAUAACUUACCAAGUACUACACCUUGAAACUAUGCCAAAUGCUUAAUUAUCUAUACUGGACAGGUGAGUGAUGCUGCCGAAAGUUGUCAGAAGUGGUGUUUAUAUAGAGAAUGAGUAGUACCAUUCAUGUCAAGUGGACAAUUACCAGUCCAAAUAUUAUGCAAAUUUUUGUUAUCGUGCUAGUUCGAAUUUGGUCCCACACUUUUUUGAUGUGCAAACCGAAAUGUAGUUUAGUGUCGAUUUGGUAUAGUAUUGAUGUUAGUUACGUUCAGAACAUUUCCAUAUAUUCCAUAGAUAUAAAAUGCUCCAAACUCCAAAGUAAUGUGUAAUUAUACCCAAUCCGCUGGUUAGCCAAAUGUGGAGUUAUUAUGCAGACAUAUAUACAUCGGGAUAAGUCAUUGACACUUUUGUUUUCUUUACGCAAAUCUUUGGAGUAAGAGCUUCUCUGAAGAUGGGUGACAAUUGGACGUAACGUACGGGAUCCGUGCAAGCAGGUUUUGAUCAUCUUUUGGUUUCGGCUUAAAAUGUAGACAAGAGUAGCAGCUUCAUGUACGUAGCAGAGAAGCUGUGUAUAAGUGUAUUUACUAAUUGACAUACCUCUUCUGGGCUUGUGUGGGUUGUGAUUUGUGUGCGCGUCAAAGGAGACAGUUGCAGGGAGAUCAGCAAGGCCUUAUUCAUUAAUAUUGUCUUGAUACUGAAGUCCUUUUGAGUCGGAAGCUUGAUUCCAAUAAGUACAAGUGUACAAACUUAUUUUCGAAAAAAAAAAAUGUCCAUGAAGCUGGGGACUCAUUUUCAAACUUAGCAAAUGGCAAGGAGCUAAUUGGAGGUGCCAACAAUUUCCAAACAUAUGCAUGUGGAUAACACACAGCUGACUGGUAGGUUUGCUUCUACAGUUAGAUCAAACUAUCUGAUCUGUUGCCCUGGACUAAUGGUUGUAAAGGAUCCCUGCUGCUUGUAAUUUUCAUCAACUAGGUAUGGUACUCCUUUUUUUUUGUCCGUGAGCAGUGUUUGUGCUGCUUGGUCUAUGUAAUUGAGUGCCCUAUGUGGUAUAUAUAGUGAGCAUCACCUCCCUCACUGCUUGUAAAAAUAAAGCUUAAACUUAUCCAAAAAUAAAAAGAAGUAUGUUCUAUUAUAUAUACACAAGCUAAGGGUUGAUCUCCUGCAAUUAAUUUCUGUGAAAUGAUUUUAUAGCUUUACACAUAAUAAUAACCUCUCAGUCACGGACGUAAUAAUAAGAUAAUUUCUGUGAAAUUGUAGAAGAUAGAACAUAAUAGAUUAUUCAUAAAAACACAAGGUUCUACAGACAGACACUAAAUAUAUAUUCGGGAGGCUCACGAUUCUCCCAUUGUCGCCACCUAAACUGGGACACAGCAGACAUCUGUUUGUGGCUUCUUAAUCUUACUGCACCCUGCAACAUAUAGUGAAAACCAAAAUGUAAUUAGAAAUCAAUAAAAAGUUUUAGCGACUCAAAUUUAGUGGUAAAUAUAAAACAUAAGUUUGAAUUUAGACAAGCAAAAUCUUCCAACAUUUGUACUGUCGUAGAAAUUAAUAAAUGACUCGUAGCAUGGUAAUACUUUCUAUGCAGUGGGGAGGUGUUAUAAAGAAGAUUUAGAGAGAUCGAGACAUACUUAGAGCAAUCAGUCGAAGGACUGAUUGGGUAUGGAAUGGAGACUCCACAUUUGUUAGGCAGAGAUCCAACAAGCAUUUGAUUGAGUCCUUUGAUGGAACUGGCAGUUGUCUUCAAGCAUCCGCAUGCAGUCUGGACUCUGGCGGUCUGGUGUGCUUGUAGCUGCAGCAUUAAGGUAUUUGACCCCGGCCGAUGCAACAGGCUGGAGGAACUGCCCCCUCCAGUACCACGGAGGUAGUUAACGCAAGGAGCCACCUUGCUCGCUACAAAUCCACCUGUAAUGGUGGCUUCUGUACAAGGUGCACUCACCAACACCAUGCAUGCAAACAAAACACGUGAGCUUAAAUACCAUUGAGCUUGCCAUGGUUACAAAGUAUGUUCGAAAACAAGAUCAAUAUGCUUGAUUCUCUGUAAUGGGUUGAGUGAUUCUGAUCGAAAGCUGUCAGAAGGGUGUUUAUAUAGAGAUCAUAAUGGUGUAAUGUGGUUUAGCCGUUUAGGUACAUAAGCUAGGUGGCAAUUAUCGUGCCAUGUAUUGUUGUUAGUUGAAGUUAUUAAUGUAAGAGUGCCUAAUUAAUUAUGUUAAUUAUAGAACCAUAUUUCUUUUCGACGUACUUUCAAGUGGCACUCAGCUCAUUAUUGAAGCUGGUUUGAAAUUUGUCCCACGCUUUUUUGAUGUGCAAUAUUACAUACUCCUGUAUAAGUUCACAACCAGCUUUAUGAACGAAUGGUUAUGCAUUUCAUAUGUGGAUAGGAAUCGAUCAAUGCAUAUGGAAUGUUAUCCGAGGUUAAAUGGUAGGGAAUGCAGAAAGAACUCACCAUCCAAGCUUCACUUGCCGGCUAGUGUAUAUGUUAGAUUGUUAAGCUCCUUAGGAAACUGUAGGUAUAAUUUCAACAAGGAGCAUGACUUUGCAGAUUAUGGUUCACUAACUGAUCUAAUAAAUCUUAGUGAAUGAGCAAAUAUAAUCCAAGCAUCUUGUAGGUAUAAAUGGGAUUUCAACUUCUUGGGUCAUGGCACCAACCCACCAAGGACUCAAUCUCGAACUCUGCAAUUGAGUAGAGAUACCUUAUUAAGUCUUGUUGAUUAUCACUCUAUCUUCUAUAAUUUCAAUAUUUGAUUUCAAUUAGUUAAAGGUUGGUGCCUGCAGUUGCACUGAUUCAUGGCCUGAUCAGUAAUUAUAAUAGUAAGAAUUUUGCUGUGAAAUUUGAAGAAGAUGCAUCAUAAUAAUAGAUUGAUGUAUCAUAAAAACCCCAAGUUACAUAAACAUGCGAAAUCUUAAUAAUCGGGAGACUCACAAUUUUCCCCUAAUCGCCACCUAAACUGAGACAUCUGUCUCACUCCAGAACGUAGAGAAUUUUUUUUAUGCCUGAUCUGAACUUGUCACCCUGCAGCAGUAAUGUAAUUAGAAAAAAACUAUAUUUAUACAUGCCUUCAACAUUUCAAAUCUGUGGAAAUUAUGUUAUAGAAUUUCUCGGUCCUGACAGAUUUUGUGGAAUUUUACCAUAUUUUUGUACUCCAGUAAAAAUUGUAAAAUGAGUCAUAGAAAAAGCUAAUGCUAAAAGUUUGUUCGUGAUAGGGAUCAAGGUACUAUAAAGAGUUAGAGAGGGACAUACUUAGAGCAAUCGGUGUAAGGACUGAGAGUGAACGGAAUGUGAACUCGACAUUUGUCAGGUAUAGACUCAAUAAGCUUGAUAUUGAGUCCAUUGACUCCUUUAGCAGCUUGCGUCAAGCAUCUGCAUGCAGUCUGGCGGUCUGGUGUGCUUUUUGCUGAAGCCUUAAGGAUCUUGAUCCCAAGGCAACAAAGAAAAGGAACCUUCCCUCCAGUACCACGGAUGUAGUUUAAGCAAGGGGACAACAUGCUGUAUACAGAGUCACAUUUCAUGGCCUCUGCAUAAGACGCACUAACCACCAACAUCCAGGCAACCAACACACAUGUGAGCUUAUUAUUAAUCACUGAACGUGCCAUCGUUAAAACUUACAAGGUAGCUAGUACUACUGGACUCAUGAGUGAUGCCGAAAGCUAUCAGAAAUGGUCAUUAUAUAGAGAAUUAAUGAAUAGUACCAUUCAUGUAAAAUAGUGUUAUCGUGCCACUUUGGAUUUUGUCCCACUCUUUUUAUAUGUGCAAACCGAAAUUUAGUUUAGUGUCGUUUUGGUAGUACUACUGCUCAUAAUUACGUUCAGGACAUGUAUUUAUCUUCCACAGUUAUAACAUGCUCCAAAGCGAUCAAAUACUUAUUAAAUGUUGUUGUCUAUCAUGCAUGUUUGGUUUUCUUCGCAAAAACUUGAUGAGCUUCACCAUUGUUGUGUGCAGUGGAAGCACACACUUAAAUUGGAGGAGUGUGAUACUGCAUGAAACAAAACAAAUAAUACUGAAAAGAUGAAAGUUACACAACAAUCACACACAAGAUAUACGUGGUUCGGCUUGAUUGCCUACGUCCACGGGUAGAAAUGAGGUUGCUUUUCUUAUGAACAAAGACCUCUUGAAGACACCAAUUUGGUUUUCUCCUUCACAAGGUUAUCUCAAACGCCCUCAAUUUGCCUCCAAAAAGAUUUCUCCAAACUCAUGUUUUUCUCUUUACCAAGGUUUUCCAUCUCACUACUCAUAGGCUCUAUAUGAUAGCCUUACAUUAUAAACUAGUUAUCUCCGAGAUGGACCCAAGUUCAGGCCUGCUAUUGCUGCUACUAAUGUUGCAACCACUUCUCUCUGAGAUGGACCCAGAUUUGGGCCUGCUAUUGCUGCUACUAAUGUUGCAACCACUUCUCUCUGAGAUGGACCCAGAUUUGGGCCUGCUAUUGCUGCUACCACAGCUGCUGCUAUUGAUGCAACCACUGAUGCUGCCAAUGUUGCCGAUGCCGCAGAUGAUGAUGUUUAUGAUGAUGAUGCUAAUGUUCCUAAUACUGAUGUUGAUGGUUAUGGUGAUGGGGAUGGUUAUUCUGAUGCUAGUGCUGGUAAUAUUGCUACUACUGAUGCUCAUACUGAUGCUGAUGCUGAUGACGAUGCCGAUGAUGAUGGUGAUGCUAUGGCUCCUAGUGUGGAUGCUACUGCUGUUGUCCCAGCAGAAGUUAGUGUCCACUAAAGAAUGCUUAUAGCACUCCAAUUCACAUAGAAAAACCAACAAUCAUCUCAGUCAUAUAGGGUCAUUUAGUGACAACCUAUCUUCUCCAUUUGUAUAUCCUUCAACUAAAUUUAUCGCCUUAGUCGUCUCAGGUGUACGUAAUAGUAAGAAAAUUAGAGUGAAAUUCACAGAAGAUAGAACAUAUAAUAAAACAGUAGAUAUUCAUAUUUCAUACAACCACUAGACUACAAAAUAUAAAUUAAAUGAUCAAGGACUUGUUUCCAAACUUUUCUUAUCAAAUUUACAAAACUUCAUCACAACCCAACUGCAUUGCUAGAAUUUUGAUAAUAAGUUGAUUAAUUAACAUCUAAUUCUAGAUGUUAAGUCCCAUUAAUUUUAUGUUUGAUUUUGGCAGAAAACUGUCUAUGUUAACAUGGGUUUUGUACCAUAUGGUUUCCAUAUUUUAAGUUUCAAUUGGUAUCAAACCAAAGUACAAACUCAAAUCUAGUAGUUAUCCAUUGAUCAUCUUAGAUAUUGCAUCAACUUACUGAGUUUCAUCAUUUUAUACAACAUUAAUUCAAUCUCCUGCAAACAAACUGAAUUAUAUAUCGUGUCAUUUUGCUGUGCUGCGAAAUUUAAAGAAGAUCCAACAUAAUUUAGUAUAGAUAUUAAUAUUUCAUAAAAAUAGAUGGUUACAUAGAAAAUAGAAAACUAAAUGAUCGAUCGGAGACUCAUGACUUUCUCCUAAUCACCACCUAAAAUGUCCAUUUUAUUUAUUGAUGUUAUAUCGUAGAAAAUGUGUUUGUGCCUUCUGAAGCUUACCUCACCCUGCAACAAAUAAUAAAAAAGAAUUAGAAACAAUUUCAUACAUAUCUGAACAUUUCAAGUCUAGCACUGGAAAUCGUGCAUAGGACAGAACUACUCAAUACAUUCCAACAAUAUUGUGGAUGUAUUGCGGAAUUUUGGUGCGUGUCAUGUAGUAUAUAUGCAUGAUAGAAACAGUUGUUAAUGAGUCAUGUAUAACAACUUUAUAUGGGGGGGGGUUCUCUCAUGUAAUUCUUAGGUGAGUUAGCCUUCAGGCCUGAUUCGAGAUUAGAAGGCCCAUGCUCUUAUGAUGAUGAUAUGUGGUUACGUGUUCUCCCAUGAUGAUGAUGUGAUUAGGUGUUCUUCAACCAAAGUAAGUCCCUGAGUAGCAGAACUGCUCGAGUUGCAAAGUGGCGGUGUGGACACUUAGGUGAUAGCAUCAGUAGCCUUCGGGCCUUGUCCUUGUAAACCUUCGGGCCAUGAUUAAUAUGUUUUUUCACAUUACAUGUGUUGGUUUGAAUUUUGUUGUCCAAUUGAUGUGCAAUACGGUUUCCUAUGGUUUCUACUUUCUACAAUUCAAUAAAGAUGUCCACAAGAAACCUGCUGUUUAAAAAUGAAUGAAUGGUGUGACAUACUAUGCGGAUAUAAAUUGUUGUCAAAGAGGAAUGUUGAUUAUGCAGGUGAGUAGGUGAUUCGUCCCAAAUUAUAAGUACCUUAUUCCUUUUUUGGUUGUCCUAAAUUAUAUGUCAUUUUCUAUAUUUAAAUGUUCUUUUGCUUGUACUACCCUUGCUUUGGAAUUAGAGUAAUUAUUCUAAUAAAAAUAAUUAGGCAUUAUAAUUUUUUUUUUUGGAUUGGCAAGCAGGGUUAAGGGGACCCUUACCCCUUUUAAAUUACGUGUGGAAACUUCUAUCAACAAUCAGCUGUUGACGUGUUUCGAACCCACAACCUCUCCACUUUCUGAGAGGGGUGCUACCAUUGAGCCACAAGCUCAUUCGCGAUUAGGCAUUAUAAUUGGUAUUAAAUAGGGGUAAAUUUAGAAAUAUAGUUAGUAGACAAAUAAUAAAUGAUGUUCCCUUAAUAAGUAGAAUAUUCCAAAAGGUACUUAUAAUUUGGGACGGAGGGAGUAUAUCAUAUUUAACACCAGAGUCUAUACUUCCACCCUGGACCUGUGCAAUCCAGUGAUCUAAGUACCUGUACUCGAUCACUAAGCCAAACAUUAUUUGUCCCGAGGCGCCAUUGCUUAGUCGUACACUAGGUCGCUAGUGAGCUUAAUUAUCACUGCAGGCGACUACAACUUACCAAGUACUACACUUUGAAAUUAGUGAUGCUCCACGAAAGUUAUUAGAAAUAGUUAUUAGAAAUGAUGUUUAUUACUUUAUUAUAGGCUCCAGAUUUUGCCAAGGAAAAUAUUGAUUUUGCCAAGGGCCACAAUUCAAUAUGACUAAAUUAACCCUAAUGAGAACCCAUUUGCAACUCAGAUUUUGCUCAUCUCUUCGCUCUUUUUUAACUUCUAAUCGCAACAUCACUACAUCAAUCUGCCAAUAAAAACGAUCACUACCAUUAGUCAUCAAUGUGUUCAAUCAAGACUUAUUAAACCUUAAUAAGUUAAUUUAUUAUGCCAAUAACGCCACCAUCAUCCCAUUGAAUCUAUCUAAUCGGCCAAGAUGACACUUGGCCUUUGAAUAUACGAUAUCAAUCUUAACCGAAUCAUGAAACCUUGCAACUCUUUGAAAAAUCAUAUACAAAUUCUUUAGAUUAUUCUCUUGGCAAAAUGUUAGAAUUUUUAAAUUAGGGGUAGUUUCGUCACAUCAAGUUAUGAACAUUAGCAAAAUCAAUAUUUCCCUUGGCAAAAUCCAGAGCCUUAUUAUAUAGAUUAAUAGAGAAUGAAUGUUUAGUACCAUUCAAAAUAUGCAAAUUAUUGUUAUCGUGCCAGUUUGAAUUUUGUCUCGCACUCUUUUUUUUUUAUGUGCAAACCAAAAUAUAGUUAGUGUCGCGUCUGGGACUCUUGGUAUAUGUUACAGAAUAAAAUUAAAAUAAUAUUACCUCAGGUAGCUGCAAUCAAAAUGAACAAGCAGUAUUAAAUCAGUGGCUGAGUCGCGGACUAGGUCGCUCUCUUUAAGACGUUUCGCGGCUCUGCCUCUGUUGUGCAAGCAGUAAUAGUCACGUCGUCCCCAGGAUAAAACAACCCAAAUUUUUCGAAUUCCUUUUACAUAAGGAAGAAAUUCGAUCUCACUUUCAACACUCUUUCUUGCUCAAGAAAACUAAGAGAAAACCAUUUUUGUUAUGUAUUUCUCUCUUGUCCACCACUUUUUUUAUAACUAAAAAAGAUUUGUUAAUGGUGGAGGAAAUCUCUCCCUAAAUCAAGCCAUAACGGCUAGGGUUGAAAUAAACACGUUUUAAUCAAUUUAAAUGCUAGGGCACAAAUUCGAAAUUUGAAAAAAAAAAAAAGAGAUUUCCAAGAGCCCUAAGGCCCGGCCCAAUCAUAGAUAAAUCAAAUAAUAUGAUCUAUGUAUUGGCAUGGGUUUGAACCCCACACCUCAUGUGAGAACCCAAACUCACAACCACCAAGCCAAACUCCAAACCAUAUCAAUAUUUAGGAAUGUUUAGAUAUAACCUUAAAAACCAACAGUAUAGUAUUGAUGUAAAUUACGUUCAGAACAUAUUCCAUAGUUACAAAAUACUCCAAAGUCCAAAGUGAUGUGUAACUAUACCCCAUGCAUCCGCUGUUUAGCCGAAUGCGGAGUUAUUAUGCAGACAUAUAUACAUUGAGAUAAGCCUUUUAGUCUUUAACACUUUUUCUUUUAUCUUUACACAAAUCUUUGGAGUAAGAGGUUCUCCAUAAAUGGGGGACAUUUGGAGUUACAGGUUGCAGAGCGGGUAACAGGAUCAUCUUUAAGUUUCAGCUUAAAAUGUAGACAGGCGGACUAAUUAGCAGGAUCACAAAGGCAGGUCUUAAAUUGACCUUCUUCUGGGCUUGUGUGGGUUGUGAUUUGCGUGUGCGCCAAAGGACACAGUUGCAGGGAGUUUAGCAGUUAAAAGGCAGGUCUUAUGACUCUAGUCUUAUGGUAUAAUCAAGCCUUGUAUACUCUGAACGAUUGUUAUUGUGCAUCAUCACUCUUUACUAUUUAGUACAUAGCUAGGACGCUAGGUGCAGGACAAUUAUCGUGCCAUGUAUAAUGUAUUGUUGUUAGUGGAAGUUAUAUAUUAAUGUAAGAGUGCCUAAUUAUCUUAAAUAUAAUACCUUAUUUCCACAAUCUUAAUUAACACAAACUGUCUCUAUUCAACGAGUGGCACUCCGCACUCAUUAUUAAAGCUGGUUUGAAAUUUGCCACACACUUUUUUGAUGCGCAAAGAAAAAAAGAAAAAGUGUUCAUGACUUAUCUCGAUAGGGUCAUUUGGUGACAGCCAUCUUUUACAAUUUACAUAUUUGAAUUCAAUUAGUUAAGGGUUGGUGUCCUGAGUGCAAUUGCACUGAAGUCAUGGCCUCAGACCUCAGUCUCACCAUAAUAAUAAGAAAUUUGCGGCAAAAUUUGAAGAAGAUAAACCAUGUAUCAUAAAAACACCAGGAUACAUGAACAUGCGAAAACUUAAUGAUCGGGAGACUCACGAACUCCCCCUAAUGACCACCUCAAAUUAAGACAGAGAUGUGCAUAGACUUUACUUAUCGAUGUUUCUCCCCAGUAUGCAGAGAGCAUUUUUUUAUGCCUGAUCUUAACUCCUCACCCUGCAACAAAUAGUUAAAACCAAAAUGUAAUUAGAAAACUUUUUCAUACCUGCCUUUAACUAAUUUUCAAAUCUAGUGGAAAUCAUAGAACAGAAUUUCACGUUCCUGACACACAUUUGGAAUUUUACGGCAUUUUGUACUAUGGUAAAAAUUGUUAAAUUAAUGAGUCAUAGAAAAUGCUAAUUUUUUCUAAAGGUACGUACUAUAAAGAGUUAGAGAUCGAGAAACAAACUUACUUAGAGCAAUCGGUAGAAGGACUGAUUGGGUAUGGAAUGUAGACUCCACAUUUGCUAGGUAAAGAAGCGAUAAGCUUCAUAUUGAGUCCAUUGACUCCUCUAGCAGCUUGCGUCAAACAUCUACACACAGUCUGGCGGUCUGGUGUGCUUUUAGCUGUAGUACUAAGGGACUUGAUCCCAGUGCAACAAGGAGGAGGAACCGGCCCUCCAUUACCACUGACGUAGCUUAAGCAAGGGUACAAAUUGCUGUAUACAGAGUUACAUGUCACGGCGGCUUCUGCAUAAGGCGCACUAACCACCAACAUGCAGGCAACCAACACACAUGUGAGCUUAUAGAUCAUUGAACAUGCCAUUGUCACAACUUACAAAGUAGUAAUACUUCAAAACUAUAUCAAUUUCUUUCUUGGUUCUCUGUACUGGAGUGAGUGAUGCUGAAAGCCUAUCAGCAAUGGUGUUUAUAUAGAAAAUGAAUACUAUCAUUCAUGUCAAGUGGACCAUUAAUAUAUAUCGACCAUUCAUAUAAAGUGGUCCACUUUUUUUUUUUUCUUUUUAAAUUUUCCUGCAAAACAAAUAGAAAAAAUUGGACCAUCAAUGUCACAUGCAAUAUAGUGUACAGUUAUCGUGUCGUGUCGGUUCGAAUUUUGUCCCACACAAUUAUUUUGAUGAGCAAACCGAAAUAUAAUUACGUUCAGGACAAUUCUUUUUGUUUUUUGUGAUUUCCAAAGUGAAAACUUAAUGAGAUUAUUUAGUUUAAUUUGUUAUGUAUCAUGUUUAAUUUUCUUCAAAGUUGGAUAUUAGUAGCAAAAACCUAAUGAGGUUCACCAUCAAUCAUAGUCAUAUAUACAUACGGUCAUUUGGUGACAACUGUUGGUUUUUUUUGUGAAAACAAAGGACGAAGGGUGCAUACGUACGUUCAGCAUCACAGUAACUUUUUUAUCGGAGAACGUACGAACGUUGAUGGUAACAUUCAGGAACGUACGUACGUAGUUAGGGCGUACGUACGUCCUGUAGCACAAACUACUUCUCCGUGGUCCGACGUACGAACGUUCGUUCGACGUACGUACGUCCUCCUUUGUUUUUGUGCUAUAUGGGCCCUGUUUAAGCCCAAUUCGUAGUCUAUUGUAAGACUAUGUUAUAAAGCCAAGUAAAAGUGGAAAAACCUAGGUUUUCUAAGUGAGAGAGAUUGUGAGAAGCCAUUAGAGAGUUUGAGAACUUUUGCGAGGAAGAAGACUUCGAUUUUCUUCGUGAGGGCUUGUACAAUGUCUCGAUAAGAAAAACAUCAUCCUUUCUCCCCGUGGACGUAAGCUUAUUGCCGAACCACGUAUAUCUUGUGUCUUGUGUGGUUGCUUGUUUGAUUUUGUCGUUUUGUUUUAUUUUCAUACAUUAGUUCAAUCAUCUUAUUUGUGCAUUAGUUUCCGCUGCGCACAACAAGUGGUAUCAGAGCUUCGGUUAGAUCUUGAGUGUCUUGAAGGUGUUUGAAGAAAUUCCGCAGUGAGUUUCUUAAUUGUGUUUCAAGUCCAAGGUUCUACCUUUUGUUCGUGGGUUGCAUAGAAGGUGUUUGUUGAAAUUCCGGUGUGAAUUUCAGAUUUGUUUACUUUCGUUUGGUGAUUGUUUAGUGCAUGAAAGUUGGUGGAAAGAUGGCAGAAGAAUUGAAUUUGAAGGAUUCGAAGGGGGAAAUCAAGACAAUGGUUUUCCAUCAAGCAAAAAUUGAUGUAGAGAAGUUUACCGGCACCAAUAACUUUGGUAUGUAGAGGUGUGAGGUAAUGGAUGCUCUAUGUCAACAAGACCUAGAAGAUGUUCUGGAGGAUAAGCCAGAAGGUAUGGAAGAGAAGGAUUGGAAGAAGAUGAACAAACGAUCUUGUGGAAUCAUAAGAUCGUAUUUGGCUCAAGACAUUAAAUACCUUGUGAUGAAUGAUACUUGUGCAAAGAGAUUUGGCGAAAAUUGGAGGAGAAGUACUUGACAAAGACUAUCCACAAUAAAAACUAUCUACUUCGAAAGUUUUAUCGAAUAGAUAUGAGAAAAGGUAUUUCAAUGGCGGAGCAUCUUAAUGAUUUUACCAAGGUAAUUGCCGACUUGGUGAAUCUUGGAGUAGAUGUAAGUGAUGAAAGCAAGGCAGUGUGUCUCCUCAAUUCGUUACCGGACGAAUAUGAACACUUGGCUAUCACACUUACAUAUGGAAAAGACAAGUUGGUGUAUAGUGAGAUUUCUGCAGCAUUGUUAAAUCAUGCGUGUAUUAAGAAGGACAAAGAAGAGUCCAAAAGCUCAACACCAGAGGUCUUAGUGGCAAGGGGAAGCUACAAUAGUAGGGGUGAGUCUCGUAGGGAGCCGAAGAGCAGGUUUCUAGCAAAAGAUGAAUGUUCCUUUUCUCAUGAGAAAGCGCAUUGGAAGAAAGAUUGUCUUCAAGCCAAGGCAAAGGACAAGAAGAAUAACUCUGAGGUAAAUAUUGCACAUAUUAAUAGAGAUGAAGAUGAUGGUUCUGAUUAUUCUUUAUGUGUUUCAUCCAUCGAUUGUUCCACUAGUGCUAAUGAGUGGAUAUUAGAUUCGGCUGGUACUUAUCAUGUGUGUCCCAUAAGGGAAUGGUUUUCUAGCUUUAAAAGGCUAGAUAAUGGUAUAGUAGUGAUGGGGAAUGAUCAACCUUGUCAUGUAUUGGGGAUAGGUACUAUUCGAUUGAAGAUGUUUGAUGGAAAGAUAAGAGAGCUGGGGAAUGUAAGAUAUGUUCCUGAUUUGAAAAAGAACUUUAUUUCACUUGGUACUUUAGAAGCUAAAGGUUACAAGGUAGUAGCUCAGAAUGGUGUUCUAAAGGUUAUGGUUGGUGCAAUGAUAUUACUAAAAGGUAUUCGACGAAGUAACUUGUACUUCUUGCAGGGUAGUACAGUUACAUGUGAUGUGGCCAUGUAAGAGGCUACAAUUAAGUGUGCUAGAGAGACUACAAAAUUGUGGCAUAUGCGGUUGACGCAUGAAUGUGAAAAAUCUUUGCAGACAUUGACGGAGCAAAGGUUUUUUAUAGGUGCUAUCGCCUGCAAGUUAGAGUUCGGUGAACAUUGUGAUCUGGGCAAGCAGACAAGAGCAAAGUUUGGCACAACUAUCCAUUGUAUGAGUGGAGUUCUUGAUUAUGUUCACAUGAAUGUCUGGAGACCUACCAAGUACACAGCUUGGAGAGGUAAGUCUUAUUUUGUGUCUUUAGUUGAUGAGUUUUCUAGGCGUGCGUGGGUGUACAUCAUGAAGCAUAAGGAUGAAGUCCUAGAAUAUUGAAGUGGAAGAAGCUAGUUGAGGCCCGAAUUGACACAAAGAUCAUGGUAUUGUGUUUAGAUAAUAGCAUAGAGUACAAAGAUGAUUCGGUCUUGCAAGUAUGUCAGACUGAGUGUAUUGAGCGUCGUUUCACUGUGAGAAAGACACUGCAACAGAAUAGGGUGGCAGAACACAUGUUGUCUAUGGCUGGAUUAGGCAAAGUGUUUCAGGUUGAGACAUGUCAUCUUAUUAACAGGUUGCCUUUGAUUGUGAUAAGUGGUAAAACUCUUAUGGAGGUUUCUAUGUUGAAGCCUGAGAGUUCUCAGCAGGUGGAGAACAAGACCAAAGAGGUUUUGCAGUGGGUGGAGAUUUGCAUAUCUCCAUAUGUUCCAGUGGGUUCUGUAUCUAAUGUGGAAACCUUUGUAAGGGUUUUGGGUGUUUCAAAUUCUGAUGGCAUGACAGAUGAUGAGACGAUUGGAAAUGCAGAAAAUGGUGAUCCUAUUGAUGAGGGUCCAAUUGCAACUAGAUUACCUAAGAAGGAAGAAGAAUCUCCAGGUAAAGAUGUGCACUUGAAGGUAAACGUUUGCAUCCUUAUGGCCUUGGUAGUGCGAUCUGAUUGUGUAUUAACUCUGUUUGAUGUGAAAACGGUUGUUUUACAUGGUGAGCUAGAUGAGGAGAUUUAUAUGUCUCAGCCUAGUGGUUUUGGAGUUGCAGAGUAUAAUGAGUUGGUGUGUUUCAAACCAUAUAAUUCACGAGCAGUGGGCAUUGUAGGUAGAUACAUGCAUGAUCCUGAUGUGAGACAUUGAGAAGCUGUGAAAUGGAUGUUCCACUACAUUCAAGGUAGUGUGGAGGUUGGUUUGUUAUUUCAACAUGGAAGGACUUUGAGUCUGCGGUGUGUUGGUUAUGUGGAUGUUGAGUAUGGUUGUCACUUAGAUAGACGUUGGUCUACUCCUGGAUAUGUGUUUACAUUGGCAGUGAGAUUUAUCAGUAGGUUGUCUACAUUACAUUCUAUGGUUGCUUUGUCUCCGACAGAAGCUUGGAAUAUUGCCGUGACUAAAGUGGUGUAUGGGACUAAGUUCUAUUGCUUAGAAUUUUGUCCAUAUCCUUCCUCCGAGUUGAUAAUAUAUCUAUGAAGUGAACUACGAUGGCUUGAUCCCUUAGCAGAAGGGUACGUAGGCAACCAUGAGGUGGUGCAGCCGAGGUGGUCUUUCGGGACAUGUGUGGGAGUUUGUGACUUGUGUUAUUCUUGGUGUCGGCUUAGAUUUAUUGAAUCUUCGCCGAGGUGGAGAAUUGUUGGGUUUUUUUGUGAAAACAAAGGACGAAGGGAAGAUUUCUGUUCAGGAACGUACGUACGCAGUUAGGACGUACGUACGUUCAGCAUCACAGUAACUUUUUGAUCGGAGAACGUACGAACGUGUAUUCGACGUACGAACGUUGAUGGUAUCAUUCAGGAACGUACGUACGUAGUUAGGGCGUACGUACGUCCUGUAGCACAGACUACUUCUCCGUGGUCCGACGUACGUACGUCCUCCUUUGUUUUUGUGCUAUAUGGGCCCUGUUUAAGCCCAAUUCGUGGUCUAUUGUAAGGCUAUGUUAUAAAGCCAAGUAAAAGUGGUAAAACCUAGGUUUUCUGAGUGAGAGAUUGUGAGAAGCCAUUAGAGAGUUUGAAAACUUUUGUGAGGAAGAAAACUUCGGUUUUCUUCGUGAGGGCUUGUACAAUUGUCUCGAUAAGAAAAACAUCAUUCUUUCUCCCCGUGGACGUAGGUAUAUUGCCGAACCACGUAUAUCUUGUGUCUUGUGUGGUUGCUUGUUUGAUUUUGUCGUUUUGUUUUAUUUUCAUACAUUAGUUCAAUCAUCUUAUUUGUGCAUUAGUUUCCGCUGCGCACAACAACAACUGCCUUUCUUCUCGAUCCCUUUUCGUAUCCAGCAACUAAUUUGAAUUAAAUUUAACUUAAUAGUGCAACUGUGCAAGGGUUUCGAUCUUUUAACUUUGGCUCAAAAUUUAGACAGGACACUGGAGAAGAGCACAGUUUCACAUAGAAGCACCUGUGUGUUGAUCUCUUUAUGGGCUUUGUGUGUGUGUACGUGUGGGGUGGUUGGUUGGUGUUAUCUGCAGUUUUGUGAGCAUCGAAGGACACAGUUCGCAGGCCGGGAAAUUAGCAGUUCAAAAGCAGGUCAUUUUAAUAGUAGAAACAUUGUGAAAGAUGUCCAUUAUUGAUGUUGUCCUCUAUGUUUCUGUGCCUUCUGAACCAUACGUUACCCUGCGUGCGACAAAUAGUUAAAACCAAAAUGAAAUAACUAGAAAACUUUUUAACAAAAAUGUCAAUAAAAUUACAAUACAAGAAUUAUUCCAUAUCGAUCAUCUUGACAACAAUUAGCAGAAAUGUUGUCUACUUCUUGACGUAUAUAUAACAGUACAAUCGAUCUAAUUAUCUUUCUGUUUGAAUUUUUUUUUCCCACGUAUGUACUCUUACUUGAUGUGCAUUAUUGUCUUUGAUUUACAUUUCAGCAAGAAGUUCACAACCAGCUUUAUGAUAUGAUUGCUUAAUAAUGUGUUAGUAUAUAUAUGUGUGGAUUCAAAAUUGCUGUCAAUGACAUUUCUUGAACCAUGCAUGGUUCCACCACCAAGGACUUCAAAACAUAUUCAUGUGAUGACUGAUGAAUACCAAUAGUCUUGUCUGAGAAGAGGAAAAUCUGAGAAUGAUUUUUCCAUGUCAGUUCUCAGAAUGUCCAUUGAAUAUAAUCAUGAAUUUACAAAAUUUAAUUCACAAGCCAAACAGUUGACACUGGCCGGUGAGUAUAACUAGCUUUAGCUCCUAAAUCUGUCGAAAUGUUUUAUAUAUUGGCAAACUUUUUUCAAGAACUGCCAACUGCAUUGCUAAAAUUUGGAUAGCAUCAACCAACCGUGAAGUAAUUCCUAUGUGGUGGUCGAUCCUCAUUAAACCGUUGAUUAGUUCCUAUGUGGCAAGAUUCCUGUGCCGGUAUUUGGACAAGAAUUUCGCAAAAUUGGCUAUGUUAUCAGAGGUUAAUUUUGUAGGUACCAUGAUUUGCAGGUUUUUAGGUCCAUCAUAAUAAUAUAUUGUGUCUGUCUCGGUCGUAAUAAUAAUAAUUGCUGUGAAAUUCAACAAAGAUUCAACAUAAUAUAGAAUAGGUAAUUUAAUAUUUCAUAAAAACAGAUGGUUACGUACAUAUAUAGUGCGAUAACUAAAUUAAAUGAUCAAUCAGAGACUCACGACACUCCCCUAAUCACCACUUAAAAUGUCCAUUCUAUUUAUUGAUGUUAUCUCUGGUACAUACUUGUUUGUGCCUUCUGAAGCUUACCUCACGCUGCAGCAAAUAAUAAAACAGAAUAUAUUAGAAAACAAUUUCAUAUAAACGUCUGAACUCUGAAUAUUUCAAGUCUAAUAGUACUGAAAAUCAUACAUGUGAUAGAAUUACGCAAAAUCAUAUCUUCUAACAGUAUUGUGGAUGAAUUAUGGAGUUUUGCUGUGUCAUGUACUAUAUAUAUUUGCAUGGUAGAAACAGUUCAAUGAGUAGACGAGUAGUCAUGUAUAAAAAUGCUAUGCACAACUUUAUAUCCACGUGUUCGGGGAAGUGGGGACGUAUAUAUGUACCUAGCGCAAUCGGUGGAAGGACUGAUUUUGUAUGGAAUGGAGACUCCACAGUUUGCAGGGAGAGAUUCGGCAAGCUUGUAAUUGAGUCCGGAAAUCUUACUGGCAGUUGUCUUCAAGCAUCCGCAUGCAGUCUGGCGGUCUGGUGUAGUUCUAGCAAGUGAGUUAAGGGACUUGAUCCCAGCACAACAGUUUCCAGGAACUGGACCUCCGCGUCCACGGAGGUACUGAAUGCAAGGACCGACCUUACCCGCUACAAGCCCACAUGAUAUAGCUGCUUCUGCAUAAGGUGCACUUACCACCAGCAUGCAUGCAACCAACACACAAGUGAACUUAAAGAUCAUUGAACUUGCCAUAUAGUUACAAAUAAUUGAUCAAUAUAUGCUAAACUCGCUGUUGUACAGGACUGUGUGAUUCUGAAAUCAGUCAGACCUGAAGUUUAUAUAGAGAGAAGAGUGAGUGGUGUAAAAAAUGUGUUUCAUUAGGAACAUAGCUAUAGCUAGCUAGUUAGGCCGGUGGACUAAUGAGGGUGGUGCUGCUGCCUUAUAUAGUUGGUUGUUGAAGUUAAUAAAUGUAGCAGGAAUUUGUUCUCUUGUGUUCUGCAUGUACUACGCCUUCUUAUUUGAAAUCUUCUGAUUAUCAGAAAAGUUUGUCUUCUUGAUGUAAUGUUUAUCGAUCUUUUAGUAGUACGUUCCGACGAGCACUCAUUAUUAGUGCCGCUUAGAAUUUUUGUCCCAUUGAUGAUUGAUGUGCAGUAUGGUCCAUAUGCUACCUGUUUGGUGAAUGAAUAUAUGGUUGUGUGUUACAUACUAUGUGGAUAGAAAUUGUUGUAAAUGAGGAAUGUUAAUUAUGCAGGUGACCAGCAACCUCUUCUACAACCGGCCACAUUAUUAUUGUGUUAUUUUUUUCUUAUCUUUUAUUAUCAGUAAAUAUUUACAUUCAUGAAAAUGAAAAAAAAAAAACCCAAUAGCUUAGUCAUUCGAAGGCGGUAUUUGGCUUAAGUUUUAUUCUCAUUAAUUAACUGAUUUAAUUUCCUAUGCAAAUUUUAGUAAAUAAAAAGGUGCAUUUUGUAAAAUGAAUUGUACUCUUAAUUUUGAAUUUGAAUGUCGAUGCUGACCCUUUCCUAAUUCCAAUCUUUACAACUACUUUCAUUAAAUGAUCUAGCUUAGCAUAGUGGUGAGUGGUGAGAUCUCUUCCACCACCACCACACUCGCCCCUCAACCGGGCUGUGUAUUUUCAAUAUGUUGGAGUUCAUUGUUAAAAGUAAACUAUUCCGAUUCAAUGUUAAAAGUAAACUACAACCGGGAUGUGUAUUUUCAGUAUUUUUUUUUUUUAGAUUAAAAGUAAACUAUUUAACAUCCGAUCCAAUUAAUAUAUGAAGAGAAAUCAUAAUGACACCCAGAACUUUACAAAGAGCUAUCCAAAAAAUUAAAGUUACCCAUCCAAAAAUUAUUACUAAUUAAAGAAACCCAAUGUGAUAAGAGCCACUUAAUUUUUUCACUUUCUUUUUUUCUCCCUCUCUUUCAACAAAUUUUAUUCAUAUUCUUAAAUCGAUGUUCAAGCAUCAAUGUAAAUUAUAUAUUCAAAUAAAACCCAAAAAUAUUUAAUUAAUUAAUUUAUCCUUCAAUUUUAGGUCAAAUAAUAUCAAGUUAAUACAAAUUUCUACAUUUUAUCAAAAAAAAAAAAACUUAUAAACAAAUUUAUAAGAAGAAAUAACUUGAGUUUUUUCAUAAAAUAGUGAAUCUUCAUCCAUAUAUAUUAAGAUAUUUUAUUCUCUUACAAAUUUGCCAUCGUCAUAAUAUAAAAUAAAAUAUUAAAUUUAAGAUUUUGGUAAACAAUAAAGUAAUGAUUUAGGUUUUUGUUAAAGGAGAAAACAAAAAAACUCAAGAACUAAUAGUUUAGGUUUUUUUUUUAAGGCCUGCCCAAGUUGCAUCCUGUAUUGGACCCUUUCUAUGGGUCAAUUCAAAAAAGCCCAGUACGAGGUAAUGUGAACCCAAGAUCAAAACCAAUUUGAUAUAAAAAAAUAUUAGGGAAAUCAUAUUGCCACCCCGGCAGUUUGCUAAGAGCUAUCCCAUUUUUUAACCUCACCCCACCAAAAAUAAUACUACUCUUAGGGCACCUAUUCUACUCGAUUCUACUAAGAGCCACCCGACAAAAUAAAAUCCCAUAUCUCUGAAUCUCUUCGUUUUCUCUAUCUUAAUCUUCCAUUGAUAAAGAACAACAAUAAUAUCAAGUAAAUCUUCCAUCAAGAUUUCAAUCGCAAAAUUUCCAACUCUCUAAUCGCAAGUCUCGUUUUGGUCAAUUAAUUUUACCUUAUGAUACUGAUAAUAAUAACGACGAUAGCGAAGAAGAAGACGAUGAUGAUGAUGACCUCUUCUCCGAUGUAAGUAACUCAGUUUGAGCUUUAGCUUUGUUUAUUUGUGUUUAAUUUAGCAAUUAGUUUGUUUUAGACCUAGAAUUUGGUUUUCGGAGCUUGAACCGAAGGCAUUUUCCUUUUCUGUCAUAUCUUUAAGAAGUAUGAAUACAGUAUGUGAAAAUUAAUCUUAAAAACAUACAUUGGAACCGUUGUUAGUCAGCUAUUUUGCUACGCAUGAUCAACAUAAUCUUGUAACAUACAUUAUGAGUGUUACUAGGCAGCAGGCAGCUACAUACAGACAUAUUCAGCAUAUUCUUGACAGAUAAACUGUGAAUGGUAUUUAAUUAAACUUUGUGUGUUACUAAUUCAGCAAAAAAACAUUAUACAAAGUAAGAAUUGUUUUUCCCUUUAGAAAGCCUAGUAUCCCCAAUAAGCCAAUACAUUUGAGGAUUAAGUUACUUGGUUGGAUUCAUCCUGGGCAUACGCCAUACCAGAGUUAAUGUUGACUUCAGUUGAGCAUUAAAAGUCUUGUGUUGAUCUUGUGUUAAACAUCUUAAUAAAAAAUUCCAUUCAAGCAACAUUUUGUUUUUAUGAGCAAGUUUACAUAUGUACAUACACGAUAAUCACUUUUAAGAAGUCAUGCCUGAUGCAGGUGUAUAAAUGAUUUAUCAAAAGAUUUACUAUUGUAUUAUGAAAAGAAUUUACGAGUCUGACAUAUUUCUUUGUAAGGUUCAGCCAGUAGUACAGAUUUUACAUCACUGCACGUGGGAAUACUCUAAAUCAAGAUUUAAUUAGUUGUGUAUCAAGCUACCCAAGUCUACAAAAGUACAAAGUGUUCAAGAAAAAAAAAGUAUGUUCAUGAUUGAAUAUUUGGUAUGAAGGUGUAAGAUGUUAUUUUCUCCUUGCUUACUUGUGUCUACUUAGGUACUUGACUGAAUAUUUGGUUUGUUGAUUGUUGUUUUUUCUCAUUUUUUUUCCAAGUUUUUUGUUCUGUUUGUGACACUGAGCAGCAUGUGGUUGUGGUGGUUUGAUGCUAUGCAUCUUCAAUAAACUUUGAUUUUCAGAACUUAAUUUCAUUAGGUUAGUGUGCAAGUUGUGCGAUGAUGAUGCAAGUUCUGCGAUGAUGAUGUACUGCAUGGUUUUCUUCUUUUUACUUAAAUUUACCAACUCUUUUUAAUUGAUUUCAUUCUGGCAACAGCUGUUUGCUGUUUGCAGAUUUCGAAAGAACAAUUUCAUUGCAAUGGUUGUGGGAUUUGCAGGUUAGUUAAGCAGUGGGUUUUUGCAUUGUGUCACUUGCUCGACAUUAAUUGAAUUAGUAGUCUGAUCCGAAUCUUGAAUCUGUUUCAGAGUUGGGGGGGUCAAAGCCAAAAGUGUGGUAUGCAAUCUUUAUUUCAUUAUUGUUGUGUUAACUGAAAACAAGCAUGUCAACUUAUUAUAUUGUCUUAGCUAUGAGAUGAAACUCCAACCUACCAUAAGAGAAAGGCCACCAUGAUUGACAUGUAAUAUUGACCUGUAUUAAAAGCCAAAUUUUACAAGACCCUGAUUAGAUACUACCUGUACCUUACAUGAAGAAUUGAAUAUAUAUGGGUUCCUCGACUUUGACACCCCAAUUAACACCCAAACUUGAUUAGAUAUUCAUGUUUAUGCUUUUCAGUGGAUCUAUAAGCUCAAAAUGGAAGAGCGCUCAUAAAUUGAGAGGUUGAUGGUUCAAAUCCAUCUAGAUCCAAUUAAACUAUCUUGCUUGGUUGCUAUUGAAUAGUUACUUUGUAAUACACUUACAUGAACUUGAUAUCAUCUUUGUGAUAGAGACCAAUUGGCUUGAAGCAAUAACGAUUUUUAAAGCUUUAGUAUGGUUGUGGCUGCAGAUAGAUAAAGAGCCAUCGUGGAAGUAAACCGGAAGCAGUACGGGCAGCAGUAGCGCGUGCAAUUUGUUCUGAACAUGUGUGCAACGGAAUACAAAGUACAGUAUCAACAACAAAGAGCAAAGUGAGAGCAUAUGUAACAUGAAUACAUACUCUAAGUUUACAGAUAUUUUAAUACAUUUCUAUUUAUUCCCAAAGUUAACAAAACUGAGCAGGUUACACCACUCUUUCCAUUUGCAAGAAGAAAAAACAACAUAAAUAACAUAUUUUUGACUACAUGAAUACUAAACCAUUAAUAAUAAAUUACAUUCUUAUUGUAGUAUAAUCGGCUGAUCAUAGCUUCCUUCUUGUGUUUGUACUUUGUUGCCCGCAAUUUCAUUAAAUGCACGGUUACGAUGCUUCAAGAAAUUCUCCCAUUUGCCAGCUUCCCGGUUAUGAAACUUUUUCCAAAAUACAACAGGUUCCGGAAUCGGACACCCGAGUUUCAACUUCAAUGGUACAAAAUGAUUUCCAUCGAUAUGUCCAAUAGCAAUCACCUGUGAUUGCUUACCCGAAGGGGCGGUUCUCAAUGGUACAAAAGUCAAGCAAGUUUCAAGAGAAAUAGACACGAGCAAACAAUGAUAUCUUGAUGCAACCAGAUAACCCAUAUAGGGUAAUAAGAACCAGUUUUUUGCUGGGCAUGGGCUAUCAAAGGAAUCUAAAAUAUCAAGAAGGGCAUUCACUUGUUCCUCACCACCAAACAUUCGACUAUAUUCAUCUCGAAAGAAAAUAAGUUCGCCUCUCAAAUCAGUGCGAACUAUAAUCCAUCCAUUUUCGUUGUCCAUCUCCAAGCAUGCUGCCACAGCUCUAAAACCACAAUUCCCAUCGCCAUCUACAUUCUUCGAAUCAACUAUAAAUGGCCAAAAAAACUCAGGAAACUUCAUUAUACUCACGUUACCCAUAGUUUGAAGUGUCUUCAUAACAUUCAAUUUCUUCGACUUGGUAACUUGUAGUUUCUUUGUUACAGGGGUUGGUUGGGAAACUUUUAAUUUCUUUGUUGGUGGUAUCAGUUGUGCGGAUUGAGAAGAAUGAAGCUUAGGGAUUUCUAGCUCAAAAGCCGAAGGAUCGCGCUUUGUUGAGUUAUCAUCAUUUGACAUCUUAUUCCUCGAUCCAAGUGGUCGUCCUUUAGGCUUAGUUUUCACCAAUGGUUGAAGCAAACCACAAGUUCUUGGGUUUCCUAACUCUAACAUCUUCUUCAACAUAAACCUCCUUUGGUCAUUUGUGGAGUUCUUGUAACGAUUAACAAGCGCAAGAAACUCUGGUCUCACCUCAAGAUCAGACAAGUCAACAUUAGCAGCAGUAAUACUUAACUUCUUCCAGAAUUCAUUUAUUUCAUCUGAAUGUAUCUUAUCACUCUGGAGACCAAUUAUAUUAAGUUCAUGUGCACAUGGGAGCCCAUGCGUACGACGAAGAUUACACCCACAAAUGUUGUUGUCAAUUCCCACAUAGUUGCAUCUCUUCCUCUCUUUCACAAUCAAAUCUAAUGCAUUUAUCGACACGAUACCUCGAAUAUUCUCAAAGCAUUGGAUGUUAUGCUCAUGUUUCACACAAUUCAGAUUUCUCUCAAACGAUGUUGUGAUCUCAAUCAUUUGUACUGUAAGAGAAGGAUGAAUCAUAUGCCACAUGCCAAGAAAAUCAUAUUUGCUUGACCUAAGUGCCCUUUUCAGUGAUGCAUGUGCACCUUCCACUCUAUUUGUGCUAGUAUUACCAAAAUGCAUAUGUUGGUCUGUCCAAGCUGCAACGAACCGUUCUUUGAAUCCCAACCAAGUUUGAUGGAGGUAAUGGAGAAAUGUAGGCCACCUGUUAAACUCAUCUUCUAAUUCUCUCAACUGACGAACAUAUUCAACUUCAGUAGUUGAUAAUACAACCUUUGCCCACUUAUCACACAAUGUUUCUUCCAUAUCUUUAUCUUGAGUUUCUUUCUUCCCUUCUGCUAAAACAUCAUUUGAGUUAUGCCAAUCCCGAAUUUCUUUCUUCCCUUUUACCAAAACAUCCUUUGAGAUGUGAUAUUCUCUGAGUUCCUAGUUUGGGCUAUUGAAGCAUAAGGUUGGAAGAAAUUGUUCUGCGCAGCGGAAACUUAUGCACCAAUACCCAAGAUUAAAAUAGUAUAUGAAUCAAACAAAACAAAAACAAAACAAACACAAAACACAAGAUUUACGUGGUUCGGCUAAUAUUGUCUACGUCCACGACUAAAACAACAAUCUUCCAAAUAGAGACGAUUAUACAAGCCCUCACGAAGAAACCAAAGUGUUCUUCCUCACAAGAGUUCUCUCAAACUCACCAAUGGCUUCUCACAAUCUCUCUCUCACAUGAAGAUUAGGUUUUCCAACCUUCUCAAUUGGCUUUAUAACAUAGCCAUACAAACACACACGAAAUGGGCUUAAACCGGCCCAUAUAAACAAAACCAAGAGAGGACGUACGUACGUCGAAUACACGUUCGUACGUUCAGCAAAAAAAAACAAACAUCUGUGAUACGGGACGUACGUACGCCGUAACUACGUACGUACGUUCCUUCCCACCAAAGUUAUCUGUCGAAUGGAACGUACGAACGUCCUAACUGCGUACGUACGUUCCUGAACAAAAAAGUUCCCUCCGUCCAAAAAAAUCCAACAAUUCUCCACCUCGGCGAAGAUUCAAUAAAUCUAAGCCGACACCAAGUCCCAAACUCCCAUACUUGUCCCGAAGGACCAAAGCGGUUGCACCACCUCAUGGUUGCCUACGUACCCUUCUUCUAAGGGAUCAAACCACCGUAGUUCACUCCAAUGACAUCUAUACGAUGCCCACCAUACCCCGAAGGGUCAAAUUCCCACAAGGAGCCAAAUCAAAACCAAAUGCCCACUAAUGCCGGGGCCAAAUCAAAACCAAUUGACCUUCCUUUGGGAGUUGAGUAUAAAUUUCAUUUCGUUUGUGAUCCUGAUGGUCUGUUGUUGAUUACUUCAGCGAGAAACUCCAAGCUACCAAAUACCAUCUCCACCUCAACAAAGUUCUCCAUCGAAGAUGAUCCAAUGCCCCGAAAAACUAACCUCUCAAGAGUUUUUCUUAUGAAGUUCAACCAAGUGGGGUACAAAUUCAAAUCACUAUGCAUAGAUUUACCAAAUACGUCUUCCUUACUAAGCGCCAAACAAACAUCACAUGAGAGAUUACCAACAAUAGGAAGUACGUACACAAAACCCCCAAACAAAAGGUUUCACGGCUUCAAUAAGGUUCUUGGGCGAUAACCUUGCUACUAACAAUGGUGGCUUCAACUUUCUUCUUUGCCGUGUCACCUAACAAACCAAUCAAAUGUGGAGCGACAUCAAUCUCCACCCGAACAAAUGACGCUUCAACAAAAUGCCUACCAACUAUGCAUGCCUUGCCACCCGCAAACAAAUCUGUCUUCACUUGCAUAGUACCAUCAACGACAUGCCCCAUAUUACUAUGCAAUUUCUUGGUAGAAUCGACAGACAAAUCAACAACUGAACUAUGCAAUUCCCGUGAAACCUUAUGCUUCAAUAGCCCAACCUUAUGCUUCAAUAUUUGUUCGUCUUAUACGUGGGAUCCAUAAUAAAAAUUUGAGGGAAACACUUGGCUAACUUCACUGAUUUAGGAUGAGCCCAAAACAAAUUUUUAACGACAACCGAACCUUCUUCGCAUCUACUCACUUCCACAUACCCAUUUUCAUUUAGUAAAUACUUUAAUUGUUGCAACUCUGUCAUGUCGGCCUUUUCUAACUUCUUGUGUUUUUGCUUAGCAUUGUACAUGUGUCGAAUAGUUGAUGAAUUAUUUGGGUCUCUAUCCUUGAUGACGUUUAGAGAAUGUUUUGGCCCUACCCCUGCUUUUAUCAUAUCAAACACAAGUCUUUCUUGCUCGGGAGUUAGCCGACCUACGUACGUGUGUCCUUCAAAGGAAGUUGCCAAGCCAUGGUUGUGACGAGCACAUUGGACUUCAACUUUCCAUUGGUCUUCGCUACCAGGCACAAAAACACCUCUUAACAUAAACGGACAAUCAAUUUUCUUUGUCCCCGUUCGUCUCUUUUUUUUUUUAAUUUUUCCUUCAUUGUCAAGUUCUUCUUCAUCUGUAAUUUCUGUUUUCUUGCGACGAUCUCUAUAUUUACCACUCCGCUCACAACGUAGAUAUAACCUUGGUCUUCUAUCUGAUGGAGCCAUCUCGGAUUUUGAAACAACAACAACUGUUCCACAAAUUAAUCCCAUUUGUUGAGCCCAUUGGAUUAAAUCUGAACGAGUCGCAAAAAUCUGAAUAAUCAAAAAUGAAAAAAAAAAUAAUAAAAUCCAAUUAGUAUAUGAAUACUUAUUAAUCAGUUGUUUAAAAGCAUUGAGCCUAAAACAUAUAUUGUUAUAUAAUAAGUAUCUUACCCUAUCUGUGGUAAAUGUCAUUGAUAAAUCCGGAUAUUGAACACUGUUUUCAAUAUAUGCAUCACUUGCCUAAAUUUAAAACAAUCAUGUCAGUAAACAAGUUUUUCAUGAGCAUAUAGAAACACAAAAAUAAAUACCUUAAAUUACAAAACAAAAUUUUCAGAACGUAACCUUUUGAGAAGUAACAACUUGAGUUUGUUCACUUAAGAGUGAAUCUUCAUUCACAUUGAUGUCUUCUACUUGUGCUCCAAAAUUUUCUUUGGAAUCAUUUUCAUUUGUUUCUUGCAAGUUUUCCAUAGUUAUAGACGGAAUAAAAAAAUAAAAAUUAAUACUAUAAUAUAUGAAGAAAAAAUAAAAAAAAAAAAAGUUUUUGUGUUGCAGAGGAGGAGGAAAAGAAGAGAUGGGGUUUGUAAAGGAGAAAAAAGAGAAGAGACGAAGCAUGACAGUAGUUUCAACUUUCAAGAAUUAAUUAGGUUUUUAGAGGGUGGGUGGCUCUUAGCAUGGGGUGUAGUUAUGUUUUUAGGGGUGUAUGUAAUAUGUGGGACAGCUCUUAGCAAAUUACCGGGGUGGCAGUAUGAUUUCCCAAAUAUUAUUGUAUGAGAAUUAAAAAAUCUGAUUAGUGAAAAAUAGCUUCAGUACAUGCAUUACCACGCUACAUCACCCACUAGCGGAAUGAGCGCUGGCCAGACACAACAGGUAUACAUAUCCCAUCCCCUCUUUUAUUUAUUGUUAGCACAACAUGACAUGCUUAGUGCUAAUUAUGAUUAGCCUCGUUAUUAUUACGCCGUAUUAUUCAUAUAAAACCUGUUGCUCGAUCCCUGGCCAUCACGCAUGCAUGCAUCCACUGAUCCACCUCACUUCACCCUGUAUCAAAAUCAGACUCAAAAUUUGAUCAGUACGUGGCAGUUUAUAAAAUGCCAAAAUAUAAGAGGGGGAGAUUAAUCAUUUUCGAUAUUGUUUAACUCAAGAUUUUUCACUUCAGAUAUAGUUAUUGGGCAAUUGGGUAGACCACGUAUGAUAGUUAACUGCCACUGGGUAACUUUGUUAAAUGCUUGAAAACAUGAGGAUAAAAAAGUGAUAAUUUUGCAAAGGUUUUAAAAAAUUUGGGACCAAAUUGACCAGUUUAAACUUUGAGGACUCAACUAAAAAUUUGAGCAAAGUUAGAGGACCAAAAUAGCUAAUUGUUCUACUUCAAUACCAUCACAAUUUAAUCAUUUGUUCAGUUGUUCUGGGUUUGAAUUAAUUAGUGUAGAGCACUAUCUGUUAAGAAAGGAGAAGUCUAUGUAUUAGAAACUGUUCAGUUGUUCUGGGUUUAAAUUAAUUAGUGUAGAGUAUUAUCUGUUAAGAAAGGAGAAGUCUAUGUAUUAGAAACUAGAAAGGUCUUCAUUACUUGGAGCAGGAGAAGUCUAUGUAUUAGAAACUCGAAAGGUCUUCAUUACUUGAAUCAGUCAACAGAGCUGCUAAUGGGAUAACCAAUUGUAACACCACAUUUGCCAGGAAGACCACUAGCAAAGCUAGGCUUGACCCCUAAAGCCUUACUAGCUUGUUUGAGGCAUCCACAAGUGGUUUGACGAGCAAAAGAGGUUUUAUCAGCAGCCUUGACUGACUUGACACCAUUGCAGCACGCUGGUGGUGUUGGAAAAUCGAAAAUAAAUCAAUAAACCCUAGUGCGGAAUAACCCAAGAUCUAGAAGAAAUAAGUAAUGAUAAUAAGAUAAACGAAACCAAUACACAAGAUAUACGUGGUGGAACCCUCACGGGGAAUAAACCACCACAAGCAAAACAAAUAACUUUAUUAUCUUCCACCAAAAGGAUUACAAGAUGAGAUCUCACACAACUCACUCUCACACCCUUUACAAGAAGAACACAAACCUAGAAAUUCCCUAAUAAAUAUUGCUCCCAAGUUUCACAAGCCUCCAAACCUUAAAUCUUCAAGUCUUGAAUCUCUCAAAACUCCCUUAGACUUUUGUUUAAUGUGGCUUCUCCAACUCUUCCUCUUCUUUUAAAAUCUCUCUCAAGAAGACCUUAUAUUUAUAGCCUUUAGGGUGUACAAAACACAUUCCUAAUAGGAAUACCAAACCUAAUCAAAUUGAAAAUCCUAUUCCAAUACCAAAUUCUAAAUCCUUAAUAUAGACUUAGAAAUCCAAAUAUGAAACGGAUUCCUUAGAGAACCGGUUUCCAACAGGUGGAACAUUUCCGCCCAAGCGAAGGUAGUUCAGGCAAGGAGUGAGACCGGUCACCACUUGACCACAACUUAGGGCUUCAUCUGCAUACUAGUAUGGUGCAGUAACCACCCUGCAUGCCACUACCACCAAUGCUGCAACCUUUAGUGCUACUACAUACUGAGUUUGCCAUUGUUAAUUCUAGCUACUUCUCUCUUGCUUAAAUUGAUGCUAGUUGUAUAUGUUGGGAAAAUCGAUAAUAAAUCAAUAACCCAAAGUGCGGAAUAAUCCAAGAUCAAGAAGAAACAAAUAAUGAUAAUAAUAAAAAAAAAAAAACCAAUACACAAGAUAUACGUGGUGGAACCCUCACGGGGAAUAAACCACCACAAACAAAACAAGAAACUUUAUUAUCUUCCACCAAAAAAUUACAAGAUGAGAUCUCACACAACUCAACCUCACACCCUUUACAAGAAGAACACAAACCUAGAAAUCCCCCAUAAAGAUUGCUCCCAAGUUUUCACCAAAGCCUCUCAAGCCUCAAAUCUCAAAGUUUUGAAUCUCUCAAAACUCCUUUAGACUAGUGCUUCUUGUGGCUUCCAAAACUUAAUUAAGCUUACAUGCAUCAUUGACUUUAUGGGUACAACUUACAACAAACUUAGGGUUUGCCACGAAAUUGGGCCUAAAUUGGGCCCAUGACUGUUGCAAAAAUCUGUUGCCCAGUUUGCUGCUACUACUAGGUUUGUUGUCUACCAAAACUUCAAGGACGAUUUCCCAACUGCAUACUGAGAAAUAGAAAUCAUGCAAUAUGCUGUUAGAAAGACAGACGAGUCUACUUUCUAACCCAACAAACAUAUCAUGAUUCCAAAUAUUGAGCACGAAGUUAUGUCUAUUUUACUACAAUGUGUCAAAACUGAACAUAACAAAAAACUGAACAACUGUAUAUAUGUCAAGUGGUGCUAAAUUACUUGUGAAAAGAGUAAAGAGAGAGUAGCGGUUUAUAUAGAGGGGAGAGUGAAGGUGCAAAUUUUGAGUGAUGGUAGUAGGUUGUUGGGAUUUUAAUUAGCACUGGGACACAAUAAUUUUGUUAGAAAAUUGUUAUUCCAACCCAAGUAUAUAUGUAAACAUGCAUUAUUAGGACAAAUACUGGUAUUAGCUUGAGACCUAAAUAUGAUAGUUUCUGGCCUAGCCAUGGCAAAUCCAGCACAAAUAUGCAGCAAGGUUCGAUCAUUCUAGCUAGGGUUUAAUUUUUUUGUUAUUUAACCAAAAAAAUUAAAAAAUUAAUCAUUCAACUGUGUCGGCAGUACAGUUAAAAUUGCAAAAUAAAUGUAUGCCUUUGGUCUUGUUAUCUCCAACCAUUAUGUACGGAUAAGUUUUUUUUCACUGUUACCCUUGCAAAAUCGAUCUAUCAUAUCCGUACUAUACAUGUGUAUAAUGUAUGGAGAAGAAAGGAACCCUUGUGAUUAAAACACAGUACAAUAGCAACACUUGAACAACUAUAUAUAUAUAUAUAUAUAUAUAUAUAUAUAUACCAAGAUUAAUUACAAGAUUAAUUACAAGAUCAUAUAUAUUGUAUUAAUUUUGUUUAGUUGGUUGUUGGAUUUAUUAACUUGGUUUAAAGUUAAACAUCACUGUACUCAUAAUCAAAUGUUCUUUCCUUUGCAACUACUUAAUUGGUUAUACUUAUGAUUCAUGUUUGAUCAUGGGACAUGCAUUCUAGCUUCUAAUAUGUGUCCCAACUACUUUGCAACACGUACACGGUUUGGUACAUAAUAUGUGUCCCAAGAUUUACAUAAUUAAUCUGGUUUCUUUUUCCAUUGAAUUAGAAAGGCCGAAGGGGCGAAGGGCGAAGGCUACCCUGCAACAUCAAGGUCCAAAUGACUUCUGUUCAAAAGAACCAAUAUCCUGAUUUCAAAUCUCAAUGCCUGAAGACAAGUACAUGGAUAGCACGAUCCAAGGAUUACUCCAGGCCAUGCAUGAUCAGAUCGAUCAUAUAUUCUUCUGUUAAGUUCUGUUCGAUUUAUCCAAAUUAUUGAACCCAUGUCCAAUUUUACACACAAUACUACACUACAUUAUUAGAUUUUGAAGAUGCUCAAUGUUAGCUAUAUGGUGAGAGUUGGUGACCCUCUUUGAGCACGAUUUUGUUAUGGUUUUAACUAAGAAGGGAAAAAAAAAAUCUAAGGAGAACAACACCAAUGAACUUUAUUAGUAGAAUGAUGCUGACUACUUUCUCAAGAUUUGAUUUAGAAUUAAUGAUCUAGAGAAAUGAAAGAAGACUGUGUAUUGCAAGUUUUUAAUAGUUUUGACUCAAUGCAACUGCAAGCAUUAUUAUUCCUUGCCCAAUUAUCUAUUAUACAUAUGAACUAUGAAGUUAACCAUAUAAUGAUAUAAAACAAUUAGUUGACAAAAAUGUAGAGCAAAAUAUAUAGGAGCAGAUCAAGUUAUUAUAUACUGUAUCAUUAUAUUGAUGAUCAAAUCAAAGUUCAGAUUACAUUCAAAAGCAAAAACACCACCACCACACACAGACACCGGAAUGAGGUCUGGGGAUCCGUAAAUGUCACACAAACAUGACACAGUGAUCACCGCAACAUACCCUCUCCUUUCAUUUAUUCACACAUAUACUUAAACCCUACACAUAUAUAUAGAAUGCCUUGCUCCUCGUCUCAAACCCUCAACGUGUAUUCAUCCCCCUUACCUCACCCUGCACCACAAGAACAAAACAAUCAAUUCAGUAUUUUUGGCCUGUAUGGUUGCACCACUGCAACCCUACAAAUAGUUUGUCCAAGAUAGGGAAAAUUAAAAGUGCAAAAACUGAUAAAGGGUUUUUAAUUAGCUUACUUGGAGCAGUCGACAGAUGGGCUAAUAGGGUAACCAAUGCUAACACCACAUUUGCCAGGGAGACCAUUGGCAAGUCCUGGGUUGACUUUAAAUGAAUUAGCAGCUGACUUGAUGCAUCCACAAGCAGUUUGGCGGUCAGGAGUAGUCUUAGCAGCACCGUUGAGUGCACGGACUCCAGCACAGCAUGCGGGUGGAAGAGGGCCAGCACCUUGAAGAUACUUAAUACAGGGUGACAAUUUAUUCACCACUUGACCACAGCUUAUAGCACCUUGUGCUGCAUAUGGUGCAGUGACCAACAUGAAUGCUACUAGAACCAAUGCAACUUUGAAGACAACUGAAUUGGCCAUUUGUUUCUUUUGGGGGGUAUUGUAUGUAUAUCACUAUAUAUGUAUGUGAUAAGAAGAGAAGAUGAGAGAUUGUGAUGAGUUUACUUGGAGAUAGAAGGUAAGAGGCAGUGAGGUUUAUAUAGAGUGAAUGUUUUGUCCUUGUGUGCAGACAAGACAUAUGGGUGAUAGUUGGGAUAUUUAAAUGCCUUUGAAAUUUUGGUACCUAUUAAAGGUCGAUCUGGGACUCUGAAGUCUGACCUACACCAAUACAAUUUGCCAAGUGUCUGGUAAAUGAAAUUGGAAUAAUUUCGAAAAGAAAACAUAUGGACAAAAUAAUGAAGGCAUAUAUCAUGGGUACGUAUUCUCUUGUAUUGUUUUGUACCCAUACUUGUAUUAGUUUGGGAUACUUUUGAGUAUCCAAUUCAUGGAGUCCGUGACCUUUAUUUGGCUCAUUGCAGAUUAGUUUGAAUCAUAGUUGGUGUCCGACUGUCAAAAUGUCAUGUAUGUAAUUCAAUGGAAACAAAUUAAAGAAAUUUGUCAUGUAUGUAGUUCUAAAAGUUUUUUCUUAUGUUAAAAUCACUUCAUUAUUUGAAUUCACGUCAAAUUUCUUAUUUUUUUGACUAUGACGUUUUUUCACGAGAUAUAAGCUAUAUGUUCCUGUUCGCCCUUGCAAUAACGUUAGAAGAAAUUUUAGCCUUUUCAAAUACUUAUUGUCUAUAUUUAUCAAAGAAUGCAACAAGACGUUUAACUUAAUCUAUAGCAAUGUCAAUAGGCAUAUUAUGAAUUGUAGAGUCUUACUACCUAAAUUAACAUUAAAUAAUAUUCCGUACCAUAUAAUCAUACCAAGUAGAAAUUCAUACUUUUUCAUACUAUGUAUUGCUAAACGACCUCAAUUUUUGUUUAGGAUUCUCACUAGUUUUAACCAACUUUAAUAACACAUCUCUAAUUUGUGGGGCUUGAAAUCUUAUUGCUUUGACACUUUAAUUUCAAUCAUGCUCUCCUAUUAUGUUGCCGAUAAAUGUUUAACGGUAAAAUAAGUUACACGAUCUCUUAGAAUAUACUACUGUUUUGUUGAAGAAGAAAAAUAAUUUAUAAUUACGUUAUAUUAUCUCAAAAAAUGAAAUGACAUCUGAACAAGAAUUUGUCAUAUCGCAUAUUACUAAGUUUAAGGUAUGACAUAUUGACAUCCACAUGGGAGUAUAAAAUGCUCUACGAUUUAAAUCUAAUAAUCUUUCUUGCACACCUUGGUUUUUACUUUCCAUGUUUGACCCAUUAUCAUAUCCUUGUCCUCUAAUAUCAUUAUAAUCAAGUUUAUGAUGUUUUAAAAUAUUUAAAAUUCUUCCGAAUGUAUCAUCGACUUUUAGAAACUCCAAAAAAUAUUCUUCAAUUUCAAUUGGAGUUGAUGAAAUAUUAACACAUCGUAGUAUGAUUGUCAUUUGUUCUUGAUGACUUAUAUCGGGUGUACAAUAUAAUCAAGUUAACUAAAAAAUAUUUUGCUUCUUUAAUUUUUGCAAUUAUUUUAUUUCUAACUUCAUGUGCAAAUAUUUGAAUCAAUUCAUUUUGAAUUCGAAUAUUAUGCCCAAGAUAAUGAGUUGAAAUUUCACCAUGUUUUGCUUGUCUAACGUAUUCUUCCUUUAUGAGAGUAAUUAUUUCAAUUAAAUCCAAGAACUUUUCAUUAUUAUCUUCAUAAAGAUUCUCUUUUCAUUCACGAAAAGCCAAUUUUUUUUGUUAAGUUGUUUUUUACUAUCAUUAUUAGUUUGUUUUUUUUAACAAUCUUAUGCUUUGUUAAGUUGUUUUUUACUAUCAUUAUUAGUUUGUUUUUUUUUAACAAUCUUAUGCUUAACUGUAUCCUAAGAUUAAUGCUAUUGAUAUGUUCAUUUGUUGUUUCAUGACUUCUUAUUUUAGAACAAUAUUUUUCCAAUUCUUAGAUGUAUCCUUGUUAAGUUGACAAUUGAGUUUAGAGUUAAGUAACUUGAAACAAAAAGAAAAUACCUUGUCAUAAUGUUUUGAAUAUACCAACCAAUUUCGAUCAUUUUUUUCUCCAUUUGGUGCUUUGCGAAUUGCGAGUAUAAAAUGAUUUUGAAAACUUUCUGUUAUACUUUGAUUUUUUUUCUUCUUGUAUUGGACAUUUUUUAACUAUUAGAUCUCUUUUCUUUAUAUCAAUAUUGUCUUACUUUCCCGGAUCAUAUAGACUUUCUAUGUCAUUUGUUUCAACCAGAUUUCACAUCAAUGUGAUGUAAAAUCAUGAACAACCCCUAAUGUUAUGAUGUAAGGUAUUGGAGAAGAUGAAGAUGAAGGAAUAGGGUUUUGGUAAUUGAUUAUGGCUGCACUAAGUUGUUUUUUGGUUGCCUACGUAUCCAUGAGAGAGAUGGAAUCAAGCUUUUAUAACGUACUUCAAUUGUAGAGUUUGAUUAGGAUUAAGAGUUGUAGAGAUAUUGGAGUUGUGUUGAAUUAAGUUAAGAAAAUCUCUACAAAGAUGUAGAUUUACCAUAUUAACCUUAUUGAAUUGAUGGACUUAAAUAAAAAAGGCCCAUGAUUUAUAUUGCAUGUAGUAAUGGGUUUGAGCCCUUAUUGAGUUUGAAUCGGGCUUUGACCUAUAGUUAAUGUGGGUUUGAGCCCGUUAGAAAUAACGGAGUUCUAACAAAAUAAAAAGUAAUGCACUAAGUCUAUUCCAAAUUUACAUAAAAAUAAACGAGUUGAAAAUAACAAAAUAAAAGUAAAGUGACACAUGAUUUUACGUGGUUCGACAAUGGUGCCUACGUCCAAGGAGAGAUGAAUGAUUUAUUAUUGACAUGAGGUGAGGUGAGAUGAGAGAAGAGAGCUUGAGAAGAGCUAGAGAGCUUGUCCAUUUUACAUGAAAUAGAUCCCUUUAUAUAGAUAGGGAAUUACAAUUGAACACAUGUGUGAUAUAAAUCACAUUGAUAUUGUAACGGAAAAUAACGGACAAAGAAAUAAUGGAGAAUAUUUGAUCUUGAUCUUGUAAUUGUUGGCAUUAAUCUGCAUUGCCACGUAAGCGCCACACGAGCUCAUGAGUCAUCGAGUUGGGCCAAGUUGGAGUAUGACUUGUACUGCAUGUCGGGCGUGCCAAGUCGUUCGAAAUAGACUUGAGCUCGAGUGAGCUCGAUGAAAAUAAGUUUGAUGUCAAUGUAGCUCGAUAUGUAUAUACAUACACAUAGCCCCCUCUUAUUAAGUUGACCGAAAUUAGUCAGCUUGAUAAGAAGUAGAUAAUGGUUUUUGAGAAUGAUUGACAUUGUUGAAAAGGAUUUGGAAUUCUAGUUAAAAAAUUUCAUAUACAUUUGAAAUCUCAACCAAACCGUGAUUUUGUAAGCGUUUGCUUCUGUGAGCGUUUGUUUUUGAAUUGAGUCUGAAUGUCGUGUCAUGAUGACAAUAUUGACAUUGGAUAGUGCCAUUGAGGUCAUAUGAGUUGAUUUGAUGUGAUACUUCUAUGCACAUGAAAGAUCUAACCUUUAUUCCAAAUUCCUUUGAAAAGCUUUGAAAUUUGGUUUGAAGUAUAAAAACAAAGGUCGGUAUGAAUUUUUAGGAAAAUUGGCUCAUAUGAUAGGGAUGAAAAUCAAUGUUCAAAAUCUUCAUCCUCGAGCUUAACAUUUCCUGAAACUUGAAUAAAUUGUUAGUAUUUGAGGGGUUGAAGUUAGCCCCCAGUCUUAUAUAAAAUAAUAAUAUGAAUUAACAUAUAAUAUACUCAAAAUUUAAUUGAUGUAUAUAUACGAGUGACAAAAGUCAACAAAAUAUUUACCAAAGACGUUUUGGAUUAUCUAAUUGAUAAUUUAGGAAUAUUGAGAGAUGCAACAAUGUGGUAAAAGAAUAAGAGUGAUGAUAAUAAUAAAAUAAAUUUUGAGUAGGCACACUUCUGGUCAAAUAAACACAUCUGUUGUCGUCUCGAUGUAGGUCGUGGAUAUAUGAAUUCGACCUAUUAGAGGUAGUCAGUAUAGGUUGACAACAAUAUAAACUUGUUAAGUGUAAUAACAACAAUGACCAAUAAUAGAGAGGUGUUACGUAUGUACAGUGGAAACACAUGCAGUAAGACUAUCUUAUUAUGGCUUGAGUUAAAGGCAGUGUAUGAAGGACUGAAGAUAUGUAAGGAAAUGAGACUGAAGAGGAUAAAUAUAAUAUUGAUGUGGAUUCUUUGAAUGCAGUUCAGUGCAUUAAGGGUAGACAGAAGCCUCCUUGGUAUCUUAGAGAAAUUGUAGCAACCAUUCAGGAAAUUUGUUCAGAGUUGGAACAAUGUCAGUGUAACCAUGUGUUCAGAGAAACAAAUGAAGCUGCAGAUUAUCUUGCAGGGCUACAAGGCCCACCGGGAACUUCUAUCUUCUUUAUGCCAUUGGAUGACAAGCUAGAUCAAAUUGUGCAAAAAGAUAAAAAUAGGAUUGUAAGGAUUAGAAAUAUGUAGAGAGAAACUGAGUGUUGAAAAACUAUGUAAAGAGGGAAGGCAGUCUGUUAUUAAGACUUUAGCCUGAGUGACUACUGUAAUUUUCUUACCAAUAUUAAUAUAAAAAAAAAAAAACCGCUUGCUUUUGCCAAAAAAAAAACAAAACAAGGACCAAUAAUUCUAUAUAUAUUAACCAAUAUAAUUGCAAGAAGACCAGUACGUAUCUCAUAUGUUGUGGUAAUUGAAAUGAUGAACAAUGGUCAAUUUUAUUGGAGAAAUCAUGAAUAAUUUUCACUACAACAGAAUAUGUGUAAUAAACGUAUGGUAAUGAUAUAGCAGUUAUAUGUGCACUUGUAUAUGUAGAUAAAUAAGAUUCGCAUGGAAAAUAACAAUGUAACUGAAUGUAAUAUUAGGGAUUUGAUAGCAAAUAAAUGGAAAGAGAAUGAAUAAUGAAACUUAGCUCCAUCAUAUCAGGAAUACAGUAUAUAGGGAUGUGGAUUUCCGACCAUUGAGAAGAUGACAAUAGUGUUUCCAUUGGUUAGCCCCCAAUUGUAAAUUCUAAUAUUAUCAAUUAGAAUUCAAAUAUGUACUUAUAUAAUUGUUAAAAAUAAAAAUUAUAUAAACAUUAAUUAAAAUGGGAAACCACUUAUUUUGUACUUUGAGCUGGAAUUUCAAACAUAUUAAUUUAUUGAUGAUGAACGUGAAACUUUGUCCACGCUUCAAGGUUGAUGUUCGAUCACAAACAGUCGGCGCCAAUGUAAAUACAUAAAAAUAAACGAGUUGGAAAUAACAAAAUAAAAGUAAAGUGACACAUGAUUUUACGUGGUUCGACAAUGGUGCCUACGUCCACGAAAAGAUGAAUGAUUUAUUAUUGAUAUGAGGUGAGUAGAGAUGAGAGAAGAGAGCUUCAGAGAAGCUAGAGAGCUUGUCCCUUUUACAUGAUAGGGAAUUACCAUUAAACACAUGUGUGAUAUAAAUCACAUUGAUAUUGUAACGGAAAAUAACGGACAAAUAAUAAUGGAGAAUAUUCGAUCUUGAUCUUGUAAUUGUUGGCAUUAACUUGCAUUGCCACGUAAGCACCACACGAGCUCAUGAGUCAUCGAGUUGGGCCAAGUUGGAGUAUGACUUAUACUGCAUGUCAGGCGGGCCAAGUCGUUCAAAAUAGACUUGAGCUUGGGUGAGCUCGAUAAAAAUAAGUUUGACGUCGAUGUAGCUCGAUAUGUAUAUACAUACACAUAUAUUAUUGGUAGUAUUAAUUGGAAUAUUUUGAUUUUUUAUCACGGAUGCAUAGCUCCUCUUUGAGAUUCAAUUGAAGCAUAUGUUGGUUUGUGUUUUUAAUAGAUAAAAAAAAAAUCGUAAUUCAUAUUUUUAAGUAAACAUAAUGAGAGAAUAAAGAAUAGAAGAUACAAAUAAAUAUAUCAAUAAAAUUGAGAGAAGACAUUUGUAAUUUUAUUUGCAACCCAAACACAAUCCAAGUAUCCCACCACAAAAGCAAAUAAUCUAUUGAAGAUGAAUUGUCAAUUUCUUUCGAAUUGCAGUUGUAUAAUGAUUUUAGGAGAAUAAAAAGAAAAGAGAAUUUGUACAGUAGAACCGCUUUAAUUAAUACUUUGUAAGUUAAUAAUCUCCCUUGGAUAAUAAAAUUCUUCGAUCCCGACUUGGGACCUAUAUGCUAAAUUAAUAAUUUAGACAAAAUUAUGAGAUAAUAUAUUUCAAAUAUUUCUAUGUAACACAGUGAUCCUUUCAUUUACUUACACGUAUCUAUUAUACUCUAUUAAAACAGAAAAUACCCCUAAGAAAAUAUAUCUUCAAUUAGGCUAUCAAUUAGAUUGAAAUUGAUAGCCUAAUUGAAGAGAAUUUUGAUUAAGUUUGGGUAUAUUUGUAAUUACGCAAAAGUGGACCACCAUCACAGAUAUAAUCAAAUCCAAUUCGACCAAAUCAUGGGCAUAAUUAAACCCAAUAAAAAAAAUUAAAAGUAUACCCAAUCCCAAGUAUAAUCAAGUCUAGCCCGUACCCAGUUGGACCAAAUCAUAAGCAUAAUUAAGCCCAGUAAAAAAAAUGAAAAGUAUACCCAAUCCCAAGUAUAAUCAAGUCCAGCCCGUACCCCUAAAAAAAUACAGUAAAACCUCGAUAAAUCAAUAACCUUAGGACUAGAGAAAAUUAUUAAUUGAAUGCGAUAUUAAUUCAUUGAUUAAUUAAUAAACUAUUAAUUUAUAUAAUUAACAGUAUAUUUGUAUGUAUAUCUUUCUUUUUGGGGGCUAACAUGAUGAAGCUGGACAAUCAUUUUAUUCUAGAACCCGUUCCACGAAAAGAAGCACUAAAAUUGAUAAUGAUAUUGGAAUAAUUUCUUCUUGCAAUACAAAAUACAACACUAGAUCAACUUAUCACACUACAAAAAUUUAGGGGCGGAUCCAGAGGGGGGGUUGUGGGGGCUCAAGCCCCCGCUGAGUUCUCAAAAUUUUCUAUGUAAAUAGCUAUAAUGCUAUACAUAAUACAUGCACAUUAGAAGUUAAUGUUAAAUAGAGCCCACCCAUCUAGAUUUUUGAAUUUAUAUUGUGAUUCUCUGUAUAUAUGGGUAUAGAUUUAUUUGACAUGUGGCGUGACCAUUUCCUAUUAAACUAAAAUAUCAAUAAAUCAGACUAUUUAUUACAACAACAGAGAAAAAACAUUAUUAUCUAAUGAAAAAUUACUUUGAUACACUAGUGUAUCAUUUAGAAUGUGGAUUUAUAAUGUAUCAUAAAUCAAUUUUGUGAAUUUAUAGGAGUUAUGUUGAAUUCCUGGUAUUGAUUUAAUUUAGAAAAACACAUAUCUUAGAAAUUUAUUUAGAAAAAAAUUACUCCCUCUGUCCCAUUUUGAUAGGUCAGGUUUAUAUUGAAAUUACUAGAUGAUUUACUACGUUUGUACAACUUCUCCAUCUUCCUCUUCACUCAAAGUUUAUGUCUGCUUAUAUGCUUAUAUUUGAUCCAUGUAUAUUCGAUGUUUGUUGAAGAUCUCUCGACGACACAAAAAUCAAAACUCACCAGUAUUCUAAGUCAAAUAGACAGGUAUGCAAGUUUAUUAAUAGUUUGCUAAAUAUUAAUAUGAUAUUAUUGUGGACACACAUAAAAAAUGUUUGUGAUGACCAUUUACAAGUACAUUCUCAACUUGACAAAAAGUAUAUUUUGCAGGAAUAUGGAGAACCAGUAAUCUAUUUCCUUUCCUUACACUUAGUAGAUAUUGACAAAAAGUAAAUGAAAAUAGAAAAUAGAAAAUAGACUCCAAUAAAGAAGAUAUAAUUUUUAAUACAUUUCAAUUGUGGGGAUAUGGAAGGGGACUCAAGUAGCAGUAAGACUUACUUACUGCAAUUUCAUGAAAUUUGAGUUUCCUUUAAUUUGUGAUCUAAUGUAUGUAAAUGUGUUGCAGAUGGGACUAUAUCAAAAAAGGUCGCAAAACUCACACAGACAUGGAUCGUAUGGUUACCUUCCAGAAAGCCUUAACUACAUGGGCCUAAGGGAUGUCUCUGUCACAUUACAAGUAAAUCAUCUUUAUCAUCAUAAUAGUUUGCUAAAUAUUUCGAAUUUUCAAGAUGUUAACUGCUACAAGCCAAUUAAGAGACGCUCGACUGCUAAUGGACUACUGUGAAAAGAUUGUUUCCCAAAGUGAUGAAGCCUCAACAAUCGAGAGUCAGACCAAAUUCUAAUUGAGACUUUGAGAAUUAAGAGUGCUGCAAAAUCCCACUCUCCUGGAUAUCUUCAACUACAUUGGGUUUAAUUUCCAUGUAUAUAUAAUAAUCAUUCAAUUUCUAUACUCAAAAGAUUUAUAAUAAUUCUAAAUGAAAUCAUACUAGAUCAUAGACUUUUGAAACGGGCUAAACAAAAUAUUACAAGUUACAAACCAAAAGCAACAUAAACCCCCCCCCCAAAAAAAAAAUCUAAAACAAUCAGAAUGCACGGGCCUAAGGACUAGUAUAUAUAGAAAGCCCUGCUCCUCGGUGCAACGUGUAUUCAUCCACCUUACCUCACCCUACAAACACGAACAAAAAAAGAACAAACAACCAAUUCAAUAUUUUUUUGGCCUGGAUGGGUUGCAUCACUGCAAUCCUACAAAUAAGGGAAAAAAUGAUAAAGGGGUCUUAAUUAGCUUACUUGGAGCAGUCGACAGAGGCACUAAUAAUGAAACCAAUGCUAACAUCACAUUUGCCAGGGAGACCACUGGCAAGUGCUGGUUGGACUUUAUAAGAAGUAGCAGCUGACUUGAGGCAUCCACAAGCAGCUUGGCGGUCAGGAGUUGUCCUAGCAGCAUUGUUGAGUGAACGGACUCCAUUACAGCAUGCGGGUGGAAGAGGGCUAGAACCGUACACUAAGAUAGUUAAUACAGGGUCUCAAAGUACGCACCUUCUGCUGGAUAUGGUGCAGUCACCAACAUGCAUGCUACUAGCACCAAUAUAAUGCAACUUUAACGACAACUGAAUUGGCCAUUUGUUUCUUUGGGGGUAUGGUAUAUGUAUGUGAUAAGAAAAGAUGUGAGAUUGUGAGUUGCUUGGAGAAAAAGAAGGAAGAGAUUGUGAGGUUUAUAUAGAGAAGACCACAUAUGGGUGAUGGUUGGGAUAUUUAUUUAAAUGCUUUGAAAUUUUGGUACCUAUUAAUUUGCCAAGUGCCUGCUAUUUGGAAUUAGAAUAAUAUAGAAAAGAAAAAAUCAAAUGGACAAAAUAAUGAAGGCAUGGGUACGUACUCUCUUGUAUUGUUGUACCCAUACUUAGUUUAAAUCAUAGUUGGUGUCCGAGAGUCAAAAUGUCAUGUAGGUAUAUUGAUAUUGAGGCCCUGCUUGGUUACCCCGCAAAAAUUUGCAUGAAAUUUAGCCUAAUUUAAUAUGCUUGAAACUCUUGAUAAUUAGUUUUAUGAACAAAAUUUAUGCAAAAGUUUGAUGCUAUUUCAAAAGUGCAAAAAUUUUACACCUUUCUCUAAUAAACUUACUAGAGGACCAUUUAUGAUUAUCUCAUGUUUAUGCAAGGUUUAAGUGGGGGACCAAUAGGGUUUAAGCUAAAAUAGGUGGGGGUCCAUUCAAAUCAAAGAGUAAACUUGGGAGGGACCACUCUAACUAUAGAUGGGUAAAGAUUUGCCUUUUUUGCAGCCCAAACAAGCAGGGCCUCAAUUUAGAAAAAUUACAUAAAUUUACUGAAUAUCUGUAAAAUUUUAUCGAUUUUUUAUUUAUCUAUGCUUUGAAUGUGGAACCAAAGCUGUAAUAUAGUUCACAUCAUAUAGUUUAAAAUAUCGCGUAUUUGACAUGGGAAUUUUCUCAAAAUUUUAAGAAUAGACAUUCUCAUACCAUUUGAGGACCUGCUACUGAGCUAGGAAUCUUGGCGUACUGCAAUUUUUUUUAAAAUUGGCAUGUUGCUUGAAUUCGGAAUUUUAUUCUACUAAAUAGUGCACAUAAUGUCCUUAAAUUUACGCUUCUUUUGUCUAUUAUGAUGUGUGUUACGUACACCACCACCGACAGUAGAGUAGUAGUAGACCUGAUUUGGCAGACACCUGACAGUCGGUGGAGGCAAAUCUCAAAUGCAUAAGGCCUGUAUACCAGUAGGUCGAGCCAAGUUUAGUACUUAGUAGUUACUAGUUAGUACAAUACCAUGGCCGGCCUUUAAUGUUUAAGGAACAAAACCAUUGGACUCAUUUGUCAUAGAAAGCCCGUUUUAUAACUUCUCUGAUGACUGAGUGACUGAUAAGUUUUGAUUUUUUUCAAAAACCAUUCUAGUUGGAUUAUUUAUGUUUAACCAAGCCGAGGAAAUAAUACUUUGAUAGUGGUCUUGUUAGAUGCCAUUGGUUCCAAUUACUGUAGCCUUUUAACUAACAUAUGAGAUGGAAUUUUACUUACCAAUGGUAGUGAAUUAUAUUGGUGACGAAGAAAGUUGAAAUUCUUAAGAAAAACUAACAUUGUUGGUAAGAUCAUUGUAAUAGAAAGGCUUGUUUUAAUUUGGAAAUUUAAACAUUGUAAAAAGCUAACAACAAAACAUAUAUAUAUAGGUCAUAGGAGCAGAUCAAGUAACUCAUAUAUUGAUAUUCAAAAUAGAGCAAGUUCACAUAUGCAUUACAUCCAAAAUAACCACCAGCAAAUAAAAAAAGCACUACCACCAUCACACCAAACACACUGGAAUGAGGUCUGGGGAUUCGUUACUGUCACAUACACAACAUGCUGACACAACGUACAAAAGUGAUCACCACAACAUACCCUCUGGCCUCUCCUUUAUUCACACAACAAACACACAUUAUCUAAUUAUUAUUACGUACUAAAACUAAAGUACCCUAAAUCCUGGAUUAAAAAGCCCAUGCUCCUCAGCUCCACAUCUGCAUGUAUUCAUCCACCUUACCUCACCCUGCACCACAAGUCACAACAACAAAACCAAGCAAUUAAUUCAGUAUUAUAUAUACAACUCCAUACAAUUAAUGGAGGGAAAAUAAAUAUAUGAAAAUGCUGGUUGUUACUUGGAGCAAUCGACGGAGGCACUAAUGGGAUAACCGAUGUUAACACCACAUUUGCCAGGGAGAGCACUGGCGAAUUGUUGUUUGAUCCCCUGAGCGUUGGCAGCAGCUGACUUGAGACAUCCACAAGCAAUUUUGCGAUCAGGAGUAGUCUUAGCAGCACUGUUGAGUGCAACGACUCCACGGCAGCAUGGGGGUGGAAUAGCACCACCAGACGUAAGGUAAUUAAGACAAGGUGUCAAAUUAGUCACCACUUGACCACAGGUUAUAGCACCUUGUGCUGCAUAUGGUGCAGUCACCAACAUGCAUGCUACUACCACCAAUGCAACCUUGAAGGCUACUGAGUUGGCCAUUUGUUUCAAAGAAAGCUUUAAGGGUCUUAGUUGUUGUUGCUUUGGGGGUGUAUGUAUGUGAUAGAUGAGAAGAGAUUGUGAGUUACUUGGUGAAUAGAUGAAGAGGUACUGAGGGUUUAUAUAGAGAGAGUAGUAGAGACUAGAGAGUGAAUGCUUUGUCCUUGAUGUGCAGAUAAGCAGACUGAUGGGUGGUGGUUGGGAUUUUAAAUGCUUUGAAUUGGGUUAGAUAAAUUUUAGUAGUACCAAGGGUCACUUUUCAUCUGUACUCAUCUAGUAAUACUGUACACAAUUAUUUGCCAACUCCUUAUUCAAGUUACAUACUCAUUUGUUUCCAUAAACCUACUUACCUACAAGGCUACAAUAGUUUGGAACUUUAGAUACUUGAGGGGGCAGUGAAUUCAUGUCACAUACCCACACACAUGUUAUGGUCGUAAUGGUAGUAUGGUACACAUUUGCAUGCCAUGACCUUUGUUUGGUGAGGUAGCUUAGACAAUAUAACACUCUUCUCAAAUUGCAUGUUCACUAAAAUAAAUACUAACUUCAUUUCCAAUAGCUGUUUCUUUAAUUUGGUGAGUUUGUAUUAAUUCAACCAACAUUUUAGUAUUUUACCAUAGAAUGGUUAGAAAUGGUAUUGACUAAGAUCAAUUCAGGUGAUGGUGUGAUGAGGGCAGCAGGAGUGGUGGAGACUGGAGAGAAAUAGGGAAGUGAACAAGGUUAGGUACCUACCUUCGGACCUGAGAGUAAUGAUGUGUGUAUAUGUGUCAGGCAUCUCGUUGCUUAGGUGAGGGGUCACAUCCUUGCUCAGAUCAGGCAUCUCGUUGCUUAGGUGAGGGGUCACAUCCUUGCUCAGAUCACUCCCACUGACUAACUAGGCACACUAACCAAGAAAUAUAGAGUGCUAGCUUGGUUCAUAGCAGCAUUGAAUGAACGUUUGCAGGUUGGUUAAUUGUCAUAUACUGUAUGUGUGAAGUGUGAACGUAAGCAUAAAGACAAGGAUGGAGAAGAUCAGAAGAGAAACGUUGAAGAGUGAGCCCCAUGACAUACCUAUCUUCUAGAGAAAUGAGAGAAUCUAACACCUUCUGGGGAAAAAAAACGUAAUGCUUUAUGGGUCAUUGUACAUUGGUACUGUGUACCAUGGAUGGAUGGAUUAUAUCUACCAGCUUAUAUGUUCCCUUCAUUGGUAGCAAUAGCAUGCCUCCCUUGUGAUAAUUAUCUGAACCAUAGGUGAAAUUCACGGAUAUCCGACACUCGGAAAAUCGGUAUAUUUCGCGAAUAUUCAGACCCCAGUAUUGGAAUUAAGAGAUUUGGCAAAAUAGUUCUCGCAAAAUAUUGUUGAAUAUUCACGGAUAUUUACAAAAAAUUUAAAAAAUUAUAUUAAAUAAAUGUGGAAAUUAUAUUUAAAAAUAAAUGUGAUAAUUUCAACUUCGAAAAUUUCUUAAUUUUCAAAUAUUUCGCAAAUAUUCGUAAAAAUCCGGUCGACAUAGGGAGGUUUAUGUUUCAUAUGCCGUACCACUCCGAAUUCUCAAAAAACCGGCAAAAUUCGUAAAUAUCCGCCCAAUAUUUUCGAUUUUUUCACCUAUGAUCUGAACACCAAAUCACCAAUGCUGAUAUAUUAUUAUUAACCAAUAAACUCUUGUGUAUUGUUUCCAAUUUCCCAAUGUCCAGACUCCAGAAUAAUGUGAUUUCCUAUUAGAAAUGGAUACAGAAAGAAAUCAUACCACAUUUAUAAACUCAAAACACUGUGAAGUGUAAUCAACUCUCUUGCAUCAAAGUGACCAUGAUGGAACACGACAUACUUGAAAACUACAGAGUACAGACAUCAAGUGAAAACAGGUACACUACAGAAACUACAAUACAAUUCUGUUUCAAUCUGCAAUCACACAUGUUCAUGCACAAUCACUUCUGAAAGAUUAUUUUUAGUAAUAAUAUCUUAUUGCUUAUGGAUAGAGCAAUAUGUCAGAACUAUUUGCAAGAGUGAUAAAACAAUUUGAAGUACUUAUUAAUCCCUUGAUUUCAAAUUUUCAAUCAAAACUGGUCAUUUAAAACCAAGUAUGCUUCAAAAGUUAAUAAAUAUACAACAUAGUGGGUGAGCUUAGGAGUUGUAUUGUGGUGAUGGGAUACAAUCAAAAAUGGCAAUCAAAAAAAUACUGGUUAGGAAAAAAGACCAGCUAAUAUUUAGCUUAUUCAUUUCCGGAACAAAACUUUUCUUAAUCUAUGUCAACACACAAGAAAUGGCUUCAUCCUAGUUACAGCUUUUGCUCAGAGGGAGGGGUUGUGUCAACACAGGUUUCUUCUGGCAAUCUAAAGCUUAUACAAACCAUUACCUGCAAUAUAACUUCACAGGUUAAUUAAAGUAGAGUUGAACAAAAAUAAGUUGGAAGAGACUUUAAUUUCGUCCAUUGCAACUGCAUAAUCCACACAAAUGAAUAGUUCAAAGCUAGUGAAGGUCAAAAUCCAGCUUAGAGGUGAAUAUGAUAGCAUGGAACACCAUACUUCAAAUUAGAAAUCGACAAUCGUUGUUAAAUUAACGUGUACAAACUUAUUUGGAAAAGAGCCACGAAAAAUUGCAUAACUUAAUUAGUGAGUUUUAUAUAAACAAAAGAAAGGAUGCACAUCUUUUGAAGAAUAACCCAAAUUUAUGACACACGACACUAAUAUUCUGGCUCAAGAGACAGGCUUCCAUCGCAAACAUAUAAUAUUACUUUUCCAUGAACCAAAUAAUCAGAGCGAGAAGAUCCACAUUACACCAAGGAAAAUCAAGAAAUCAGUGGUGGAAUUCAGUGAAAAACAUUUCUUAAGAUCUAAGAACCAAUAUAAAAUUGGGUAGUAGGGUGCUUCAUUUACACUAAAAAUGAUUAGAUAAAAGAGAGUGUUAAGUAUGAUACAAUGAUCUAUCUCUUUGUAGUCCCAUAUUGGUAAUGUAAUAGGAAGGUUGUAGGUAUUUAUUUAAGAACAAAAGAAUUCAAAGUUACUUGAGCUAGCCCGUAUGCCCAAUGAACAUAAAAGUUUUUGAGCUAGCUCUUUUGAGUGAGGGUCCUUGCAGGUAGAGUAAUUGGGAGGUCUUGAAAUUUAUGUAUGGCACAAAGAACAUACAAGUAAUUUGAGCCAGCUCUUUUGAGUGAGGGUCCAAGGUAUCACAAAUAUCCAUACCGGUUGAGUAAUUGGGAGGUAUGGGAUAUCAACGUAAGGCCCAAGGGCCAGCAAAAGUAAUUUGAACUAGCCCUUUUGAGUGAGUGGUCAUGUUAUUACAAAUAUACAUGUAAACGAAAUAUAGUAAUAAAAAAAAAUAAUAAAAAAAAAAGUUGCUUGAAAUUGCCCUUUUGUGUUAGCUUGUACCUUGUAUGGAGCAACAAGUCUGACUCUAUGAAAUAUUGGCUCUUUUAUUUUAGCAUUUAAUGCAGAUUCUGCGUCCUGAAACAGAGUUCAAGGGAUGGGUUAAACAUAAGGAUAUGGAAUUAUAAUAUAGAAGAAAGAAAAAAAAUCCAACUAGAAACGGUAACUUAACUACGGAGAUUAGUAUUAUUAUUUUGUUUUUUUUUUUUUUUUUUGUGUGUGUGUGUGGGGUGGGGGGGGGGGGGUCUCCUUUAGUGUUUUCUCUUAUUGAUGUCAAUUAAAACUAAACUUAAAGGCUCCGUUUCUAUUUCCCAUUCAGGGUUACAAGUCUUUUUAACAGUGGAACGGGUUCCCUUCUCAAAACCAAUACAUAAAAUCUAGUUUAGUUUCAGGGGAAAACAAAGGCUUUCUAUAAUGACAAACAAAAACUGCCAACAAUUUUAAAUUGAUCCACCUGGAUAAGAAACAUGAUUUUUUCUCUUUUUGGCACAUUUAAGGUGGGUAGACCUAGGAAACCAUCUCUUAAGUUUCAAAUGUACAUAUACCCAUGGUUCCAUGCACACACACAAAACUAAAAAUGAAGACAAUAGCUAUGUAACCAAAGCCAAAUACUGAGCCGUUGGAAAUGUACAAAAUCUCGUGAAAUCUCGUUGUUGGUUUUCCACAUUUUGUAAAAAAUGCUCCCAAUACAAAAUAGCUGUUUACUCGUUGAUCUAUCAACAAAUGCCAUGACCUAUCAUAAAUCUUAAAAGUAGUAAGAAUUUGUUAUAUGUCAUGCAAAAUUUAAAGUUAGGCCUUGGUUGAAUUGGGGAUUUCUCCAACAGGAUACAGAUUCCCAAAAUUGGGUACAGAUUAAAAGUUUUAGACCUAAUCAAGCUAAAGAAUCAAUUAUCUUUAAGAACACUUCCUAGAUCUAUCCAGAUAUACAUUAAAAACAACCACCUCAGCCCCCACCAACUCCCACCCCAUGCGCACACACACCUUCUCAAAAAUAAUAGAAGCAGAAGACUUAAACCAAAAGUGCUGAGAUACAAAAAAAGAAAAUUCAUAUCAUGCCAUAACACCCGAAGUCUCAACGAUUCAUCUCAUUUUCUGUGGACUCGCAAUUUCAAGAGAACUAAUAUAUAAAAGAAGCAUCUGGAUACAAAACAAUUUAAAAUUAAAACCACCCCAAAAUAGAAUAAUGUUUGAGACUCACUUUUUUUAAUGAGCUUGGUACAGCCAAACUCUACAAAUGUUUAAUCUACAAUAUAUUUCAUCUGGAUUUUCCACCCUAUUAUUGUCUGAGGCUUGCUUAAGGUUAUUGUAUUAUAUUUUAUUAACUGGAAUCGAGAUAAUAACAUGAGCAAUUCUAAGAAAAAGAUUUGUUUCUAUCUAGACGUGAUUAUUUGGUUUAUAAAAUAAUAAAUAAAUUUAUAAACAUGACAAACUUUAGUAACAAGUGUGACAGACUCAUUCAAUUUGCAGAAGAUGAACUUACAGCAAUUAUGGACUCUUCUGUUUGAUCACGCAAUUUCAUGAAGCAAUAGCAAUGUAUCCAAGGUAAGGUUCCCUUCCAGUGUUUUCUGCAGAUAAGACCCCUAAAUACAUCUGUGGAAUGCAUAUCAAUAGUAAUGUCACAACAAAGACAUGCCAACAACUUAAAAAUAAGUUCCCACAACCACAAGUUAUAUACAACUCAACACGAUCAUCACAAGACAAAGCAUAUAGGAAACAACUCUCGACAGGAAACAAGAUAUUAAGAUACACAAAUUGGAUCAUAACAAGUACAACUGUUAUGCAGAUAUUAAAGUUAUCAUGGACUCGGACAUUCAAUUCUUUUUCAUAUUAAUAUUCACAGGCUAAUAACAUAUAAAGAAGGGAUAAAGCCCCUAAUCAAUUUCUCAUCAUGAUGUGGAUUGGCUGGAUCCUAAUUUCCAGCUCACUUAGUAAGAUGCCCAUCAUUAAAAAUUAGAACAAAUGUUCACAUAGCCAUAUAACGAAGGGGGUAGAGGGGCGGGAGAAGAAGAAUCUGAAGUGUGAUGAAUUCCAUUGAUCAGAUUACCACAUUACAUGCAGGAUGCCUUGGUGCAGAAAAACAUAUAUGCAAAGCCACUAGGUCUAGCAUAUUUCAUGUCGCAAAGAUCCACAUAUGUGAAUUAUUGAUGGUAAAAUGUUUUGAAGAUUGUAAGUCGUUCUCUUUGAUACAUAAGAAGUUCAUGCUCAAAAUAAUUCAAGAGACCUUCUGUUAUAAUUUUGCAUGUUUACUCCUCUGUAACCAUUUUGCAUGUUUACUAACUUGAGAUGAAUGCAAUGGGGAUUAGAACUGGACAAGUCUCUUUCACCACGCCGAGUUGAUGUGCUAGUCAGGACGGCUCUCGGAAGGUUAGAAAGAUGGAACUGUUUUCAGUUAUUCGAUGUUAUCUCGCACUUUUUCUUUCUUCUACUCUUAUGUUAAAGAGAGAAUGUUCCUUUUUGUAUCAAAAAUGUCGAGAAAACCAAUGUAUUUUCAUCGGUUCCAUAUUUUCUUCACCUUUUAUGUUGGGGUGGACACGACAACAACGGUUUAUGAUGCCAUUGGCUCUCAGUUUCAUAAACCCACAUUGUUUGAGAAAAAUAAUGUGAGUAAAUAAUUCAAGAAUUUUAUGAAAUGUUGCCAUAGAUACUAAAUUUCCUGAGGAUGAUUUAAUCUUCCAAUCUUAAUAUUGUCUCAGAGGAACAGUUCCUCUCGUUAUCUUCUAAAACACCAAUCAAAUGGUCAAGAAGUUAAUUGUUCAAAUAUUGAUUACAGGAACUACAAACGGGAAGAAAGUAUAAAGACGGCAAUAAUAUCAACGUAACAACCUACACUUACCAAGAAACUGCAAAGCAGAAGCAGGUAAAUUCAUUACCACAUGAUCAACAUGCUCCCAGGUUUUAACACCACUGGGCUUAAUAUCUCUCGUACGCUUGUUUUUGCUUCUUUUUCUCCUAUCUGUAGUACCAGCAUCAGUACCAUCCAGGUUUCUAUAUUCUAUAGAAGACAUGGAAAAGCAAAAUAACACUCUGUCAGCUGAUAAAAGUAACAAAUAGAUACAAAGCAAUAGUGCUCAUUAUACUUCAGUAUUAAUUACGUAACAAUAUAGAAACAUCAGCAACAUUAAUAAUGCUUUCGCAAUAUUGAUCCCCCACAAAUAACAUGUGAAAGCAUCUACAAAUCCUUUUACAAAUCAAUUAAGCAGGAAAACCACCUCAUGUCUCAUAAAUGACAUAACGUAUUGGAAGUAAUAUUUCUAAGCAUUCACUACACCGCAAAGAUUUUCUAUUAUUUAGUUAGACUUCAAGAUAGAGGGAAAAAAAAACUCUAUGCAACAUUCUAGUAAGAUACUAGAGUAAGAGAUACAGACAAGAAAUGAACAUUGCUAGCUCAACUCCCACAAAUCACUCACUCCCAAAUUAGCACAAAGAGGUUAUCCUUGUAUUCUUGCUACUGCUUGCACCAAAGGAACAACACUCCUUUGAUAAUUAUAAUCAACUGCGGGACGUCACGAGAUCUCCCUUUAAAAGUAUUGUAAUAGUAGUGACUUGUCUAACACACUUGUAAUAGUGGUGACUUGUCUAACACACUUGUAAUAGUAGUGACUUGUCUAACACAUUUAUAUAUACAAGUUAAGUCUCACAUUGAGACUAUAACUUUUCACCCUAAUAUUCUACUUCUACUUGGUAUCAGUUGCUUGUAGAAACAAAACCCAGCCAUCAUCAAAACCAAAACCCAAGCCGUCACCACCACCACCACCACCGCUCCCACCACCAUCACCACCUUGCCUCCGGGCAUCUUUCUUCUAUGAGCAGCUGGUAAUCCCUGCUCUUCCUUCGCUGUUUCUGCAGCAGGAAGACAUCCCUGCAGACGGCUUCCCUUGUUGGUAGUCAUCCCUGUUGCUAAGGAUUUCAAUUAGUGUUUGUCUCCCACCUUGACUACCUCCACUGUUUCUGGUGUGUUCCUGGUUUCUGCCACUGUUGCAGUCAUUAUUUUUCUGGUUUCCUUUCAACGGAAAAUCUGCACUCUGACUAUAGUCCUGUUUGGUCCUUGUCUGCACCAAUUUUUGGAGUGAUUUCAUUAUCUUUUUUACUGCUGUUUUGUGGACUGAUUUGCUGUGUUACAACAUUCAUACUGUGAGUAUUUUAUUGUGGACUAUUCUGUGAUAUGACUACAAGUCCAGCUUCCACUGGUUCGUCAUCUACAACCGUUCCUAAGGCUAUGGAAACCGACUCUGGUUUCCCCACCGUUCAGUCUACAUCCAUUCUUCUAAGUGGGCAUAAUUUUUCAUCGUGGUUACGUUCUGUUAGGGAAGAUACCUUUACCACGACCCCAUUGGCCUAUUGGAUGCUCUGUUUGGUUCCUAAGUAAGAGGCCAAAGAAGAGGUCUGGAAAAUCAGGUGGUGGUCAACCUCGUACCGCUGCCAUUUUUGGGGUUCCUAGCAGUUCCACUUCAGGGGGAGUUCCUACUGAUUCAGGUUCUUUGAGUCAGCGGCUAGACGAGGUUCUUUUUUCCCUUCGCAAGGGAGAACCAGGGUCUACUACCAUGCCUACGGCUACAGGUAUGCCUUCUGCUUUCCAUGUUAGUUCUGGUUCUACACCUCCUGCUUGGAUCCUUGAUUCAGGGGCCAAUGAGCAUAUGACUGGUGAGUAUAGUUUAUUGAGUAAGCAUACCCCUUUUUCUCAUCAUGUUCGCAUUGUUGAUGGCUCGUAUAACCCUAUUACUCGUAAGGGCAUUGUUCAUUUGUCUCCUCAGAUUACUUUAGAGUCCGUAUUGCAUGUUCCCAGUUUUGCUCUAAAUCUUUUAUCAGUUAGUCGCCUUGCUAAAGCUCUUCAUUGUGUUGUUGUAUUCUUACCUGAUUCUUGCUAUCUUCAGGAACUGAGUACGAAGCGGAUUUUUGGCAGGGGGUAUGAGCGCGAUGGGUUGUACUAUUUUGGUGAUCCCCCACCGGUUCCACCUUCUAUUGUUUCGAGUCUGUUCGAGUCUGCAUGUUAAAGUCUUGCCCGAGUCUGGCCAUUAUGUGUUUAGUUUGGAGUCUGUGAAAACCUGGCAUGCCCGAUUAGGUCAUGUUAACUUCCAGUAUUUGUGUAGUCUUUUUCCGGAAUUACUGAAAGCAUGCAAAAAUUCUACUUUUCAUUGUGAAAUUUGUUCCCUAUCCAAGCAUGUUAGAAAUUCUUAUACCACGAAUGCAUCGAUCACCUGCUAUGUUUGAUUUAAUUCACUCUGAUGUUUGGGGUCCUUCACCUGUUACUGCAUUAUCAGGCCAUAGGUAUUAUGUUACGUUUAUUGAUGAUUACACUAGGUGCACUUGGGUCUAUUUACUUCGCCAAAAGUCAGAUGUUCUCCCCUUGUUUACACAGUUUCUCCAACUCAUCAAAACUCGGUUUAAUGUAGUGGUUAAAGCUCUUCGCUCAGACAAUGCUAAGGAGUAUGUGUCUAAUGAGUUUGUCAGUCGUCUUAGCCAACAAGGUAUCCUUCAGCAACUCACUUGUCCUUAUACACCUGAACAAAAUGGUGUUGCUGAGAGGAAAAAUAGGAGUCUCAUGGGUGUCGUUCGUUGCUUGUUGAGAGGAAUGCAUGUCCCACAAUCCUAUUGGCAUUUUGUUGUUCUUACCGCUGCCUAUCUUUUAAAUCGCACUCCUAGUAGGAUUCUCCAUGGUCAAACCCCUCACCAACUUGUCUACCCUAGUCGUGUUCUUUUCCCAAUUAUUCCCAGGGUGUUUGGAUGUGUUUGUUAUGUUCAUGAUAAGAGUCCAUCCCGCACUAAACUUGAUGACAAGUCCAUUCGGUGUAUUUUUGUUGGUUACUCUCCCCUUUCUAAGGGAUAUCAAUGUUAUAAUCCCUCUAGUCGUCGUGUUUAUCAUACCUUGGAUGUUACUUUUGCCGAGCAUGUUUCCUUUUUUGGACCUUCUAUCUCUUUGCAGGAAAACUUGUUACCAUCGGAGGAGGAGUCUUCCGCUGUUUGCCCUAUACCUGUCUUUCCUACUCCUCCGGUGGCCCCUAUUCCUAAACUAUACUCGUCGCUCUUGCGCUCAUCCUUACACCUUGCCACCCGCUUCAGGUAACAUUCCUCUUCCUAAUAGUGAUACUCCUUUUGUUGUUCCUCCUGUUAUUUCUAAUGAUAUUCCUAUUGUUUCCACUAAUGAUAUUGAUGUUGUGUCCAUCGAGAACCCCCUUGUUCCUGUCCUUGAACCCCGUUAUCCUCCCAGGGUUCGAAAUCCUCCGAAUAGGUUGGGUUUUCUACUGACCAUCCUAUUGCUCAGUAUGUCUCUUAUCAGGGCUUGUCUGCUAGCUAUCAGGCAUAUGUUACUUCUACUUCAUCGAUCCGGAUUCCUAGAACUGUAGGUGAGGCUAUGGAGAAUCCUCAUUGGAUAGCAAUUAUGCAGGUUGAGAUGGUUGCACUUGAGCAGAAUCAGACUUGGGAGUUGGUUCCUUUACCUCCUAAGGAACGCACCGUUGGGUGCAAAUGGGUCUUUAAUGUGAAGUUCUUAGCCGAUGGUACAGUUGAACGAUAUAAGGCGCGCCUUGUUGCCAAAGGCUUUACACAAGUUCUUGGUCGGGACUUUGGCGCUACAUUUGCUCCCAUAGCCAAGUUGAACUCUGUUCGACUCAUUAUCUCCCUUGCAGCAUCAUAUGAUUGGCCCCUUCAUCAGUUAGAUGUGAAGAAUGCUUUCCUUAAUGGCGAUCUUGAUGAGGUUAUUUACAUGGAUCCUCCACCAGGUUUUCGUUCUGUCGGGAAGUAUGUUGGGAAGGUUUGUCGACUCCGUAAGUCCUUAUAUGGGCUUAAGCAGUCACCGCGUGCCUGGUUCUGUAAAUUUUCUGAGGUUAUUCUUCAACAUGGGUUCCUCAGGUGUCAUUCUGAUCAUACAGUCUUUGUCAGGAAUAACUCAGGGGGGUCGUAUAUAUCUUCUUGUGUAUGUGGAUGACAUUAUUCUCACUGGAGAUGACACUGCAGGCAUUGUACAGCUUAAGGAAUCCCUAGGGAAAUCCUUUGAGGUCAAGGACCUAGGUCCUCUACGCUACUUCUUGGGCAUUGAGGUUGCUCGUAGUCCUAAGGGUAUCUCCUUAUCUCAGCGAAAGUAUGUUCUAGAUCUCUUGAGUGACACGGGAAUGUUAGGUUGUCGUCCAACUUCUACUCCUCUGAUUCCUAACAGCAGGUUAGUUGCCAAUACCGGAGCGCCUCUACCAGAUCCAUCAGUCUACCAGUGUCUUGUUGGACGUUUGAUCUAUUUGUCUAAUACCAGGUCGGACAUAGCCUUUGCCGUGAGUAGAGUGAGUCAGUUUAUGCAUGCACCUUGUCAGUCUCACAUGGAUGCGGUUGAUCAUAUUCUCAUGUACCUGAAAUCGUGUCCUGGCUUAGGUUUGUUUUAUGUAUCUAGACCACAGGGUCCCUUGGAGUGUUACACUGACUCAGAUUAUUAUGGUCGCUCCAUUGACGGUCGUUCUACUACUGGCUUUUGUGCUUUUCGUGGACAUCAUCUUAUCACAUGGAAAAGCAAGAAGCAAUCAGUUGUCUCUCGGUCAUCGUCUGAGGCAGAGUAUCGUGCGUUAGCAUUGGGUACUUGUGAGAUUAUGUGGCUUCGCUCUAUUCUCAGAGAGUUGGGUUUUACACAGACUGGAUCCUCUGUUCUUCACUGCGAUAAUAAAUCUGCACUUUACUUAGUUUCGGAUUCUGUCCUUCAUGAGAAGACAAAGCACAUAGAGAUCGAUGUGCAUUUCUUGAGAGAGAAGGUUCGUUCUGGUAUCGUGUCUCCAUCCUUUGUUGGGACGAAGGCACAAAUUGCUGAUACUCUCACGAAAUCAGUGGGUCCUACUGAUCUUCAAAUUUUUAUUCGCAAGCUGGGUCUUCGCGAUAUCUUCGCACCAGCUUGAGGGGGAGUAUUGUAAUAGUAGUGACUUGUCUAACACACUUGUAAUAGUGGUGACUUGUCUAACACACUUGUAAUAGUAGUGACUUGUCUAACACACUUCUUUCUUUAUAUAUACAAGUUAAGUCUCACAUUGAGACUACAACUUUUCACCUAAUAUUCUACUUCUACUAAAAGUGUCUCUGGUUACACUCUAACUAAAUUCACCAAAGUACCACAUAUGAGAUGAUGAUUCACAGCCUCUUAGCAUGUGUGGGUGACCCUAGGUUUCCUUAGAUAGACAGAUUUCUUUAACUCAUAUAGCCCACAAAAACUAACUGCUUUUAUUCUUGUAUUGCAAGUCUUGCCAUGCAAAAAGUGCAGAAAAGAAGGUUUAUCGUCCCUCAAUUCAGCCAAUUCAAUAAUUCCCCAAGGAGAACACAAUAUAAAAUAUAAAUAAUGAGAAAAAUCAAAAUAUAUUUCAAGGUACUGAAAUGUAUCAGUGGUAUGUCAUUUUGGUCCAGUAUAGAAGCUUACCUUCCUCAGUAUUUUCAGAGGGCCUUUUAGCUGAAGUAGAAGAAGCAGUGCAUGGACAUCCUGGGCCUUCUUGCUCAUUGGAACAGCUAAUUGGCAAUUCUUUAUAGUCAUCUGCAAGUCCAGUGAAGUGUCACUUGUGUUUUCAGUAAUAGAAAAUAUAAUGACAUUUGGAAAGAGUUUUUACCUGUUGGCUUCUCACUUUCAGACAACUUGACUACAUUUACAGGAAUAUUGCAAUCGGUUCCUACACAAUCUGAAGGUUCCAUUAAGUGCGACAAAAAUGCUCUUGCAUCCAUAUUAUAUGCUCUAACACGAUCAUCUACUUUAUUAAUCUCCGCAUUGAUCUUCAAGUAGUGGACACUGUCUGGGUUUAAGUCGUUCGCAAAUACUAUGCAUCCUUUUUGUGCUGCUGGAAUGACAAAAGGGCCAAUACCAGCAAACAUGUCACAAAUGAUAUCUCCAGUCUUGAAGAGAGAAAUUAGUCGUGUGUGUUCGUGUUCCAAUCUUGAGUUCCAAUAGACCAACCCAUAGUUAAGCUUGAAUGUCGCUCCAUACUGCUUUACUUCUGUAACCAUAUCAUCUAUGCCUGCUAGAACUUCUAAUUUGGGCACUCUGAACUCAUUUGUAAUGUCUCCAACUUUGUUUACAACAGUUUUAAUUUUUGGAUAGUUUUUCUGCAAAAAUUUAGUAAACAUUUAAAAUAGCACCAAUACAAAAGCAUAAAACAUGGUUUUCAAAAGCAACAGGAUCAGAGAUUGACUUUUAACAGAUGUCCUAACAAUAAUAUGUAUGCUCUAAGUAUCCUGAAAAGCAGGGUCAGCUAAAAAAACACCGGUAACGACACACAAUGAUGGUAAAAUUUUGGAGAGAAAAAGAUCCAGAUAAGAAGGAUACGACUGGUUAACAAAAAUAUCAAACUUACAUCAUAGAAAACUUUUGCAAUAACAUCCUUGAAAGCAAGUAGAUCAUCACCAAUAUUCAAAUGAGCAAUAUGACCUGAUGAUGAAAUUAUAUUAUGUUAGUUUGUUUCCAAAAGCUGAGAAACUCAAAAUACUGUAUACGAACCUGAAUUAAAAUGCCAUAAGUGCAAUGAUUACUAGACUUGUUGGAAAUAUACAAGCGCACAACAGUGGCAAGAAAAGGAAAAAAAAAAGAGAGGAGGGAAACACAACAAAAGAUGGGGAAUAUGAGAGAGUACUUAACUAUUGUCUCAAAUGAAGAAGGUACAUCCACUCCAGGGGGUAGUAUUUGCUUUAAGAUUUGGUCUAGAAAAAGAACAAUAAGCUAGUGUUAAGAAACACAUCUGAAGAAAAGGUACAAAUAUGAAAAAUAAUCAUUCUAUAUAAAGCACAAGUUUGCAUUUGUAAUAAAAAAGUAUGCUGCAUUUUUUAAAGGAAUAACGAACAUCAACCUAAAUUCUGUCUAGGAAAUGCAAUUUGUAACAGUUCUACAUAUAUAAUGUAUUGGAGCAUGCCUUAACAGGUUUCGGUACUAACCUGCACUCCAGUAGGAGUACCCAAGUGUCAAUGAAUAGGGUACUACUUCAAAAUUGCACAACUUCUUUAAGGCAGAAAGUGCUUGGUCGGGAAUGUCUGACAAAUCUGUUUACAAUCGAGAUCUUUGUAUCAAUACAUUUGAUGUGAAUGGAAAAUAAUAAAAGACAAAAAGACAAAAACCGUAAUUGAGUCAUUUAUUCAAAGAACAUAAUGGAAAAAAAAAAAAAAAUUAUGGUUGUCUGAAGAUAUAAGGUGACCAAGGAAAGAACGGAAGGUUAAUAAUCGAGUGUACAUGUAUAAACUUCCAAAAAUAUAGUGGCUGUUCCAUGUUUUUGUAUGACUUACCAGGAUUUGUAAUGCUGUCAGAUAACAGGAUGUAACGAUUUUUCUCACAUGAAGGAUCUUCAAUAACAUGUUUGACACGAGGCUUAUUUAACAUAUAUCUGGAAAGAGAAAGCAUACAGUCAAUGAGUCAAUGAAGACAUGUUCGAACUGUAAUAACUAAUGUUGCACAUAAACAACAAAACGUUACACUAAAAUAUAAUAAAAGCGUGUGAUUUAUUAUAAACUGAUUAAAGUAGAACAAACUAAAAUCCAACAAUCCCAAAAUCAACCUCAGUUCCCAUUCAUUAACAUUGGGCAUUAUCACUAAUUGUCACCAACAAAAAAUAAAAAGCACUUAAUAAAAAACCGAGUUUCCACAAUCGCAAAUGCAGUCUCUUACUUACCCCUUAAGAAUGCCAGUGACAUUCUUAGAGAGCUCUCGAGGAAUGCUAAGUGCAAGAAGCUCCAACUUUUUCUCGAACUUACUUGUAUCCAGCAUCAUCAUUACUCGCUUCUUAGCAAUGGAAGACAAUUGAGAAACAACCAAAGACGCCAGUGAUGCCUACCACUGAAGAAAAUUUAUGUUACCAAUCAUAAAUGUUUAAUUACAAUUUCUUUUCUCUUUAUAACAAUAAACAAAACAAGUUGUAAACUGCCCACUUUUCCCUGAAUUGAGUAGAUUGAACUUUUGCAUCAAUUUACAUAAAACAAGCUAGAAUUAGAACUCAAAGAAAGGUUUUUUCAAUUCUUUUUUCGAAAUUUAACAAAACCCCAAUUGAUAUUAAGUAAUGAAUCUUGUAAAGUUUUAAUCUUUAUGAGAAGAAAUUAACUUACAAUGAGUUCCAGACUUCCAGUUCGCUUUGAGAGUUUAAGAGUUUAACGAAGAGGGAAGAAGAAAGAAAGAGAAACUGCUACUGUAUUUAUCAAUUCCUUCCUUCGUUUGGCUCGUUUAAGGUUUGAGUCUAAACAGGGUUUAGUGUGUGUUUAACUUUAAUACAUUGGUUAUGGUUAAACAUGGAAAACUCAAGGGUAAAGUUGUCUUUUCAAAAAAAAAUUAUAUACAGUACUACUGGAUAUAUUGGUGAUUCAAUCAAUCAUGCCUACUGCUACUGCUAUCGACUGCUUUGAUCCUAGUUCAACACCACAUAAUUUGCUUGAACACUUUCAAUUGGGUGUGCCUUGUAGUAUUGUCCAUGUUAUCUAUUCUUACCCUUAAUAUGCAGGUUAUAUACUUUGAUCCUAGAUAGCUUUUUAUUUGAUGGUUGUCGCCUACUAACUUGCAGACGUUAUCUACUCUUCCUCUUAAUAUGCAAGUUAUACAUGCCAGGCACCAAGCAAAGAAAAAAAAUCUUAUUAUGUAUAUGAGAGAAAAAUGUUGUCACUAAAUAUAUUUUGAUCCUACUAACUUGCAAAGUCAAGAAAAUUUUAUGAUCAUGAACGGGGAAGCAUCGAUGGGAUCCCAACAAUAUUUUUGCAGACAACUACUCCAAUUGCAGGCAGCUCAACAUAGUAUUAUGAUGAUGAACUAUUCCUCCUAAAGAAAAACAAAUUGACUUCAUUAUAAAGCAGAUCCUCUUAUUAUUAUUAUUUUUUUCUUGAACCCAUGGCACAAUCAAGUAAAAAGGACCAAAAAAAUUUCAGGAUCUGUCACUUCAGAAUUUAUGAAAGUAUGUUCAAUUUAAAGAAAUGGCAGUUUCAACAUGGAUAAAAAAAAAUUAAAUUAACAAAUUAUUGCUCAAACACCUCUUAACAUAGGGGUAAUACAAUUUUCUUUGUUAGAAACAAUCUUCCCUUUUUUGUCAAAUUUUUGGGUAAUACAUUCUAAAAAUAUAAUUAUAUAGACUUUUUGAGUUGUAAUAUAGACCGUCUUCCAAAUUAUUGAAAUAUAGGUGUGGGUGAUGAGAAAAUCGAUUUUGGAUUGUGUAGAAUGUUUUCGGAACCCAUAUAUCUUUCACAACAAUGUGUUAAGAUUGGGUCUAGCAUAUAGAAAAGGCAGUAUGCAGCAACAUAACAUGAGCAAUGGCCGACAACAAUAUUCACUAUAAACCAUGAUUGUUUGCAAACAUUAUGAUUUUUGUGACUUAAUUUGUAGUUGAGAUAGUUGUUAAACUAUCCUGCUAAUACAUAGGAUGAAAUCAUAAAUUGUACAUGAGACGUUAUUCGCAUUGGAUGCAAAACAGGUUCAUUUGUCCUAGUCUGGGAGUGCCUGGGCAUGGCUGAAUAUGGAGCACAGCUGCUGCAUUAUAAAGGAAAACCUGCUAAGGAGAGCUGGUAUGCAGGUGGGCGAUAGGGAUGAAAGUAUAGUCGGCAAUUGGUGAAUAAAGCCGAGGUAAAAGGGCAGAAAACCAGUAGCAACAGAGUAAUGUGAGUAAAGCAAGACUCGACAGCACUUGUACCAGUGUCUUGGGGAGUUGUAGGUGUGCCUAACAGGGUAUGAAUAGUUUGUUUUGAAUAGUUAAAAAAAAAAAACAACACACAUAAAUCCACAAAAAUUUUGUAAAUUGUUUAGGUUACUGGUUGGAAGGGAAUGAAAAGCUUCUUAUAUAAGAAUUUGUACGGCUGGCAAAAAAAUUCAACAACAAUUCAACAGACUGUAAGACACAUGUAAUCCACCUACCUGACAAAAUUUUGAAUCCAGAGUUCUACCUUCGGUAGCCACUCUUAAACUGAUCACAAAUUUCAUCUAAUGGUCUCCUCAGUUUGCAUCUUGUAUUCCUAGCAACCCCAUAUAGAAAGUAGUAUAUUACCAAUAUCCCUAUGCCUAUUGUUUUCAAUUUUAGUUUCAACUGCUUCAUUCAUACCAUUUUUUUAACUUUGUUUUCCAUAAAAUAUUUUUGUAACAUGCAUAGUGGGACUAAAAUAUAAACCAACAGUAUAUUCGGAGAAGAUCAAACAUUUUGACGAAUCAAAAAUAAAACUUGAUCGUCAAUAAGAGUGAUAAUAAUACCUUUUGUAUGAAGUAAAAGAGAACUUCAAUCGAUAUAGGAUUUAAUGGAGUUCUAACCAAAACCAGAGAUUUGCUAGAAAAAACUCCUGCAACAUUUAUAAAUAAGCAUCAAUAUUGGAUAGAAUAACUUCCCAUAUAUCAAAUAUUCACAUGAAGAUAUUAGAUAGCAUAUAGGAUGAUAAUUUUAACAAUUGAUUUCCUUAUUUAAGUUUUAACCAGUAAAAAGUGUUUGUGACAGGUUGAAAUAAAGCAUAUCAAAUUUUAGGAGCACUUUAUUUUGAUCGAUCGAUUCCCUGAGCACUUUAUUUUUUCAUGUGAUUAUUGUCAAGUUUCAAUCAGUAUUUUCUUAGUCGUCCCACCUAACAAAGGAUCUCUACCUCUCUGUCUCUAUUACAAAGGUCGUGUACGUCUCAAAUCCCACACUUAUCCUAAAAGGUUCUGGUUCCUUCACCCAGUUCUCCAUUUUUUUAGUUUAUUUUGGACACUUAAUACCUAUGACUAUAAGCAAUCACGCUUUUUCAAUAUUCAUAGUGUUGUCUUUCAGUCAUUGCGUUCGAAACUGGUCCAUGACAGACAGUUAAGUUUGCGGCAGAGUAUGAAGUAUAUUUCCUCAAGAGAAUCAUGGAGACAUGAAAGUAGACACCAUGUAUUAUAUGUUGUUUAGGAACAUUAAUGGUAUGUACAAAUUUGAGGAAUAUAAUAGUAAAGUAUGGAUUUUUCCAACAUUCUUAAUAUUUUUGAGAGAGUUUUGAUAUUGUGGGAAUUAUCAUCAAUUACCCAGAUAUGUAACGUUUUGCUAAGUUUACUAAUGAUUAUUUUCACACGAUAAAAAUAAACAGCUCAUUUAUGUAAUUGAAAUUUAAGAGACAAAUGAGUCUAAUACCUUAAUGCUUGCAAUGGAGAUGCGAUUGGUUAUGUGAUAGAAGAUGAUGAAGAAAACUGAUGAGAGAGCACCUGUAAGAGAGAAAGAGAAGCAAUAAAUUAUCAAAAGUAUCUGAUCAUCUAACAAGAAGGAUAAAACAUUUAACUGUGUUUGGUCUUUAAUACUUUGCUUCAAGAAGAUGGGAUUGCUAUUGUUGUAGACUUACAAUGUUAGUAGAAAGGGGGAAGGCAUUAUUAUUGUAGACUUACUAAUAUGUGUUAUUCUUUUUAAAAUAUUUUUGAACAAUUUGCAAAAAAAAAUUCAUGGUAGAACUCAUGUAAUUCUCAAAGUUUGAAACUAUUAAGACUACUUUUAAGAAAUUGAUUAAGGGCGAAUUCAGUUCUUCUUCAGAAAAUGGGUAAUUCAUCUCCACGAAUAGAAAUUGAGAUAUGACAACCCAUGUUUCUAAUGUAAACUUGAAGAUGAUAACCACAUACCUUGAAGGUGAAAAUCGAAGAGGAUGAUGAAGACGAUUAGUUUGUGUUUCGCCAAAUUAAAGUUUACAGGAAACAAAAGAUUAGAGCCAACAGAUUUGAUUGUAGAAUGAGAAGAAGAGAAAAAAAAUUAAGGUUUAAUGAAAGAUUAGAGCUCCUUUUGUAUGUGGUUUAACCAAGGUACCUUUGGUUUAACCAUCUCUUAGUUGUUAAAACGAAUCACAGCUGCACCUAAAUGAUGUAUGAGGAAGCGAGUCAGGCUGCUAAUGAUGCAGUUGGGAGUAUAAGAACAGUUGCUUCUUUCUCUGCUGAAGAAAAAGUGAUGGAGUUGUACAAAAAGAAAUGUGAAGAGCCAAAGAAAACAGGGAUAACGCAUUGACAGGUCAGUAGAAUUGGUUAUGGUGUCUACUUUUUCCUGUUGUUUUGUGUUAACGCGAUGUGUUUCUACACUGGAGGAUGAGGAUGUGUUUCUACGCGACUACCAUUAAUAAUUUGAAAAUUAUACUCUUAAAAAUAUAAUUUUUAAGACUAAACAUCUAUAUAUAGCAGAGAUGGUGCACACUAAACCCAUUGAUAGAAUCAAGAUAUAGACAUGGGAUACAAAAACCUAGUUUUGGAGCUGACUCCAACCUGGCAAUAGAAAGCAUACAAUACAGGCAGGAAGCUUCAUGGAGAGCAAGACCUCAUGUGAACUUCAUGAAGUUCCUGAUGAUCGAGCUCAUUCGACAACAUAUCUUUCAAGCAAUAUUCAGGGAAACAAACAGGUGCAAACUUUAUGGCAGAGAAAUGUAAUAGGAGUGAUGCACUUAACAUGAUCAUUAGUCGAUUGCAAUUUUCAAAUACCACGAAUUGAUAGAAUCAAAUACCAUAACAUCUAACAUUAUGAUUAAGGAUACAUGGUUCAUCUUUUUAAAUCAAAUUCAAGAAUUUUAGUGCUCUAAAUUGGUUUGGGGAUUUCAAAAGAUGCACACUAAACCCAUCAAUAGAAUCACAUACCAAUGGAUACUAAACCCAUUGGAUGUCCAGAGAAUAGAGUAAAACCAAUGAAAACAAAUAGAAAUGGACAAUGAAUCUAGUUCAGCAAGUCAAUUUAUUCUUGAACCCCUAUUUAUUUGAUUAAUGGGAAUUAAGUGCAAACACUUUAAACAACUAAUAGAGUUCACCUUAAUCUGAUUCCAAAGCUUGCUAUUGUUGCUGAUUGAAGAUGAAAAAGCUUAUUACUGCUGCUGAUUGAAGGUGAAAAAGCUUGCUACUGUUGCUGAAGGUGUCAAUACAAUCAAAUCACCCACAAAAUAUCGAUUUUUUUUUUUUUUGAGAAGAAAGAGAACUUAAUCAAAGUAGAUCGAUUUUUUUUGGAGAAGAGAGAACUUAAUCAAGUAGAAAAGAUAUAGAGAGAGGGAGAGAGAGUGUGUGCUGAAGAGUGAAUAGAUGAAAUUAGAGAGAAGGAGAAGCAGAGAUAUUGGUUUAAUGAUGAAGAAGAACAUGUGAAAAGGAGAAGGAGAAGUAUAUUGUUUCAACAAAGCAACGAUAGAGCUAGGUUUCCUGAUGUGAUCUCAACCAUCCAACAUAACUUAAGUUUGGACCAAUCUAAUCCAACGGCUAAUAAACAAGUUUGUCUCCAAUCCAAUCACAGCCGCAUAUCUAAUUUACAACUUCGAAUUCGAGAGAAUCCGAACAUAACUUAAGUUUGGACCAAUCUAAUCCAACGGCUAAUAAACCAGUUUGUCUCCAAUCCAAUCACAGCCGCAUAUCUAAUUUACAACUUCGAAUUCGAGAGAAUCCGAACCACUGCUUAUAACCAAACUUGUCUAUUUUAUGUAUCCUUUGUAGAUUAUAAUUUAGACAAGAAAAUACCCGUGCCUUACGGCACGCUAAUUUAAUUACAUUUUAACGAUGUCUUUACCAUAUAUAUAAAUGUUGUCCCUAGUAAGAAAGUAACAUAGUUCAUGACCCCAACAUACAUACCUUUUGAUUUAGCGGCUUAUAUCUCAUACAAAAAUAUUCAAAACACAAUAAAAUGUCAGGUUUCUUCAUCACAUAUCAAGGGUGAAUUCCCCAUACCAUAAAAUAAUAUCAACUGCAAUGUCAGGAUUCUUAAUCACAUACAUACUAAAUCCAGAUCUCACCAAUUAUGUACCUGCAGUACAAUAAAAAUUGUUGAUUAUGUGAUAGGCAUGCCUUUUGGAGGUUAAUACUUAAUCCAUAACAUCUUUUACACCAUAUCGAUCACUUAUGCCUUAGUAGGUCUAACCUUGAGUUCGGACUAGCUGGAAACCCAACACUAAUGCAAAAACAAACUAUAGAAACUUACAAAAAGUAUCAUCUCCUAUUUUUCAUCAUAUUUCAAUGAAAAAAAAAAUUAAACAUGAAGAAAAAAAAUCAGAUAAUUAUAAGAGCUAACUUGAUCAUUUGGACCAAGGUGGAUUUAUAGUCACAACUGCUAGUGCUACUGACAAUACAUGAGCAACUAUAUUGUUGUAGCAAUUGAAAGGCGUUAGUUUACCUUAUUCACUUUAAGUCGGUUAAUUCUAAAUGAUUAAUGUGACAAUGUUGGCAAAUAAUGAUUUAGAAUGUGCUACUCUAACUGGCAUCAUUCGAUCGAUUUCCUUAUAAAGUCUAGUUUGAUGCAUACUAACAUAUAUUAACAAAAGCAUGAAAGCUUUUAUACGAAGUAUCAAACAGAUGAGGAUAAAACGAAGUACAUUCAACUACGAUAUGAUAUAUUAGCAUCGUUAUAUUUAGUAUUUAACAAUCAGACAAAUUUGAGGGCCUGGUUACCAGCAUAGCACCUGCAAGAUGACAAUCCAGAUUUGUAAUACAGCCUUACAUAAUUUGCAAAUCUUUCCUCAAUGAACCAAGAGGCUAGAGGAGUUGAAAUGUCAUUUCCAGGUCCAUUCUCUUAGUCUUCUUUAGCUACCGAAAGUUCAAUUCCUGAAAAGAGAACAUAGGAUAACAAAACAAUGUACAACUAAAUGGUUCUCAGUUAGCUCAAUUCAAACUACAACUGAUUCAUUUCAGUUGAAGGAUGACAUGUUGUUCUUUAAAAGAAUUUGAUGUGUUGUUUAAUUUUUAUUAGAUUGUUAGUCAUGGUGUUAUUCAUAUAGGAUUAUUAAGUCUAUAGUUUACCAAACUGAUAACUGAAAGUUUGCCAACCAUUCCCAAAUGUAGGACUUAAUUAAAGAGGCGGUAUAAGGAGGCAGUAGUGGGAUUUGAUACCUUAUAAUCUCGUCUUGACAAUUGUUUGUCCCCAUCUUUAUAUAUACUUAAGGAACAUUCUCAUGCAAAAUAAAAUAGAUGUCUUUUGGAAUAGGGUGAUCUUAUGGUGUGUGUGGUACUGAUUAUUUAUUUGUGGGCAUGAGCCAUUCCAUUAAAAAAAUAACUCAUCCUAUAAUAGUUUAGCAAAGCCUCAAUGCAUGUCUGCCAAAAUCCAAGAAAUAUGAUUUAUACUGUUUGUUCGCAAUCAUCCCAGUUACUGUUGCUGAUAGAAACUCAAUUGAAUACACAAAGUAAUAACUAAAAUAUUGAUGUGUCACUAUAUAGAGGAGACAGGAUACAAAUAUUAUUGUCAAGAAGUAUUUCAUUUAAUCUAUACUUCAUUUAAUCUCAAGAUAUUCGCACCUCAGCUGGAAAAUGAUAAUUUUCCUUGAUAUAGGCUACUAUAUAACAGCUAAAUUAGCGUUGUACAGUAGCCUAUAUAUAGCAGCCUACCUAGCAGAUUAUAUAAAAUAUUUUACUAAUUAGCAGCCCGCCGAGCAGUAGCCAAUGUACAUCAAUUCAUCCAAGGUAUAUAGCAGCCUGUAUGUCUUUGCUUUAUUUUUCUUUUAAGAAUUAGUAGAGGCUGGUAUGUUCAUGUUGUUAUGAAUAUAAUGCUUGUGAUUGGAGGUGUAUGUUGUUUUGUGUAGUCUAGAGCUAAACAGGCUACAUGAGAGUAGAUUGCGAAGAUUUUGCGGCAGAUUGCAGACUGACUGAAGUAUAGAUCGGCAAGAUGAGGCUGCAAAAAUGUGCAGGUGAGAGUGAUGACUGGCAAGACUCAAUGAUGCAGACUGAUUGGUAGCAAUUAAUGGGGGAAUAGAUUGCAAUUUCUAAGAGAUGUAAUAUACUGGUUGGUAGCAAUUACAUGCCCACGUAGCAGCAGCAUAUAAAGCAGCCAGUGUAGAUGAACAAACUUGUACUACAAAUGUCUAAUGAAUGUGAAUAUUCAGUGGCAGCCAAUGUAAAUUUGUUUGUUUAUUAAUCAUCAGACUUAUAAUAUACAUAUAUACAAAUCAAUUAGGCUAAGAACGUAUUACAUCUAUUUGUUUCACUGUAUGCUCUUAUAAACAUAGAAACAAAAGUGUACAUAUAUACACCUGAGAUAAAACAUAAGCAAAUUGAAAAAGGGUGCCUACAGUGUGGUUAAAGGCGCUUCUCGGAAUCCUUUGCUCUCGUUCGUAGUCUCUCUUGCUCCUUGGAAUCUUGAAAGUUGAAGAAGGGGUCAUCAUACAGCUCUUGACUGGAUUUUCUCCUCACUACCAUGAAUUAAAACAAAAAACUUGAAUAAGUGAAACAAAUUUAUAUGUCAUAGGCUCAUGCAUUUUUGAACCAAAUAUCUAAUUAAUCCAUCCUUCCACAAAGAGAAUACAAAGAACUGAAAAUACAAUUGAAGACUGAAAAUACAAAGAGAUUUCGGCUUAGCCAAUGCUUAUUGAUAGAAUAGAUGGAGAACUUGGAAUGCAAGGUGGGAAAACUCCUUCCUUCAUAUAUGCAGAAAUUUUGCUUAAGUAUCCCGUUAAGGUUUAUAGGUUUUGAAGAUUUGUAAUUAAAGAGUUGCAGUUGCAGUGGUCGUUGGUUUGAGAGAGCGUUAAGCAAAUCCAUUAGCGAGUCGGAGAAAAAGCAUACUUUUCUAGUCUAUUGUAUAAGCAUUUAAGGUGGUCGUUGAGAUAAAUUAGAAAGAGCAUAUUUUUCUGAUUCUAUUUUGCGGUGGUCGUUGGGUUGAGAGAGCAUUAAGCAAAUCCAUUAUUUAUUUUGUUGUUGAUUAAUAUAUUUGGUUAAAAAAAAGUUGGUAUUAUAGGCAAGUAAGCAGUUAAGCUAUCAGUGUCACAUUUGAGUGAAGUAAUAUCGUCUGAUUCAGUAUCUAAUGGCAUAUGAGGGAAGUAUAUAGAUGUACCUGAACAACUAUUAUGCUAUAUCUUUGACCAUUUUCGAUCAAAUGAAAGAGAUUGAUGACAGGAUAAUACCUCUCCUCACCCCAUUCCCUUGAAAAAAAAAACACCAAAUCCGAUAUAUUAGACACCGAAGAUUAAAAACUUAUUUUUGAGUUCACAUCCACUAUAGCUCCUUUUCAACUUAUUUGUAAAAAACUUAUAAUGGAAAGUUCCAACAAUUACACGCUUUUUAAGAUGUUUAUUAUUACUAACCACACUAAACAGAAAGUAAUCAAGUAGAUAGGAUGUGGAAUUUGUACCUCAAAUUAAUUGAGAACCUCAAUGCUUUCAACUCUCUUGGAUGAGCUUGCAUAUUUGGCAUCUUUUGUAAGGUUUUAUUUGCUUAGGUGGUCUACAGUCUACACUAAUGGUUUAGGUCUCAUCCAAUGCAUUUGAAAACUACUGUUCAAUUGCGUCAUUUCUCAGAUCAAGAGCAAUCAUAAUUGGCUAGAAAUGACCCACAAAACAAAUCUUGAAUAAAAUCAAUUAAACAAUCCACAAUAAAAGGUAAUCAAAGUCUUUCAAACCUUAAUCAUCUUAACCUACUUCAGAGCGGAGGAAUAGUGGAAAACUCAUACUAAUUAAAAGCCAAAAACAUUCUUUCACAAAUUGACAAAUCCUUGGCGUAAUUUUUUUUUGCCUACUAGUUAGUCAUUGGUUUAGGAGCGGAAGGUACCUGACAAAAGGAGCAUUAGCAACAUCAGCGCUAAGAGAGAGGGAGUCUCAGUUUUGCAAGAUCCCAGGUUGUAUUGACAAUUAUCCUGAUUCCUGAGUCAUUAAAAUUAGUAACAUGCUCCAUACAUACAUCAGAGGAGUACAUUAUAAAUCUGUUAGAACCUAUUAUAAGAAAAUACAUAUGCUGGAGGAAGGGCUUGAACCUUCGUCCUCGUGGUUUAAAAGCCAACCAACUGAGCUACACCAACUGUCCUUGUGUUCCUAUUUAGAUCCGCUCUCCAUUAUGAAAAGCAAUAUCUGCCCAUGUGAAACAAAAGAGUUCGAUAUAAGUAUAGGAAAGAAAAUUAUGGAAAAAUAAAUUGCAGGAUGAUUAAAUCAGAAUUUAGAAAUCACAGUGGUAGAAAAUUAAAAAUUCAAGAAACCAAGACUUACAUACAGUGCCCAAAGGUAGGCUUAAAUUUAAACCACUCGAUCAUAUUGUCACACCAGCAAGUAUAGCACCUGCUAGCUUACAUAAACUCGGAUCAAAAUCCUGUAUUUAACCUUAUUUUUCAAGUCAUCAAGGGUUGCGACCUCAUUCAAGCAAAAGUAUCCUUGGAACUGUGUCAAUAUAGUGGUUAAUAUCAAGGUGCUAGGUGCAGAUCAACUACCAAUAAGGUACUGUCAAAGAAAUCAAAAGAAUUGUGUGGCAUUGUUUUUGAUUUCUGAAAUUUCACAUGAUCAGAAAAUAUAUCGGUUUUAGAGCUUCAUACUAAAUUGUAACAAAAUGACAAAAUUUUCUUAUGAACACAAUUAGUGAACAUGUGUGAUCCACUGUGGCAGUCCACCAAAUUAACUCAAUACUAUACAUGAAUAGGUUUAUGUAGAGGCACACAUAAGCGAAAUAAAGAGAAAAAUAAAUAGAAAAAAAAAAAAGCACACCAUUGUAGAAAAGGCCAUCUUAUCCACUGAGAAUCACCAAUCGUUUAAUUAGUAGCAAAGUCAAUUUUGAGCAGAAUGGUGAUACAUUUAGACCACAAUGCAAUGAAAUUCUACCACAACAUUUUGCAGACCAUAUCCUGCCUCAAGUGCAAUCUUAUGUGAUUUUUGCUAAAUUGCAUUUAAAUUAGUAUGACGAUUUUAUGUGAGUUAAGCCCUGCCAAGCGAACUUGCACCAAUGUUUCUAUUGUAAUAUCAAAUUAAAAAAGCAUAUCAAGCGACAUACCAGCUUGUACAACAAUGUACAUAGGAUCCUACAUAUCAGCGUUCACAGCAGCCUGUUUGCAUUGCCACUGUACAUAGAAGCCUAGCUCAGUUUUUGAGAUACCAUAAAUAGUAUAUUCAACUUAAAAAUAGCUAGCUACCCGAUUGUUGAAGCUCCUAUAACCUGCUAUAACCUGUAUGUUCAAUAGUGCAUUCUCAAACUGCUUAGUCCUUUAAAAUAAAAAGGAUUCAAAAAGCAAAGGAAGGAAUUUGGGAUUUAAGUUAUACACAAAAUACCUAUAUUGAUUACAUUUUCUCCUUCUACAGGAUAAAAAAUAGAAUUUAAUAGUUAAACUGGGAAAUAAAAUUUUAAAAGACUAUUAAGAUAAAGGGCCUGAAACCUGUCUGCGAAGCAUGUCUAUUUAUCUCCCUGUUGAAUGGGAAUAAUGUGAAGGGUUGCUCAAUGCACGGGUUCUAGCAUGAUUCAAUUCCAAGUCUAGCGAGGACCGGCUUCUUACUUUCCUCUGGGAUGCUUCCUCCAUAAUUGACAGACUGCUCCCUCUAUUACUGGGUGUCACGCUCACAACUUCCCAAGGCCAACGCUGUGAACUUCAACUCGGCUUAUGUAGGGAUGGAAUUGACAUGUCGGAUGAACUUCCAACUCUAUAGUAUCCAGUGCUCUCAUGAAUCACAGAAGUUGCUGGUCUUUUUUUGCUAUACGGUCCCUUCUAUUGACUGUUGCAGAAGUGGUACUGCCAACUUCAUAUAUAUCCAUGAUUUAAAUGUAUGCCUGUAGUGGUUUACAGGGGAUGCACUGUAAUAACUUGAAGAAGAUGGACGUUCAACAUAGUUUUGGGUGACAGGACGGAAGCUUCUAGCAGCUGAUGGAUGUCGGAAGGGUUGAUAAGAUGGGCCUGGAACUGGGGCUGAAUGAAAAUUUGGUUCGGGGAUGAUACUUGACUAAACAUACUCAUUUGAUCUGAGUGUCGAGUUCCAGUUAGAGGAGACAUUUUCUCCCCCAGGAAGCAUGUUUUCCAUACAAAAAAAAAAGACCCACCGUCUGCAGUCCCAAAACUACCUUGGUUCAUGGAAGAGUGAAUAUGACUCCUGUUCUGAUCAUGGUCUGUCUCGAAUUCUAGGGAGGUGCGCAAUAAUUGUCUAUGCUCCAUAACAAAAUGUUGUUGUGAACAAUAUGCUUCACUUACCAAAUGGACAGAAGAAACACAUACACCAACUUAUGGGGAUGAGUUGCCACUCAAUGUUUGAAUCCAGACCUAUAUGCUUUAUAUGAUAGCUGGAUGAUUUCAUUCAACCAUUAAAAUAAAUGGAAUUGGAAUGAGAUUGUAUAAUAGACACUGAAACACCACACAUAUAGUGAAAAUCAGAAUAGAAAUGAACGCCAAAUAUUGCAUUUAGUGGCAAAGCAUCUCUAGAAAUAAAGCUAUUGAAUAAUGAAAAUAAUACUUUCUAAGCCUAUGUACAUAUAAAUCGAAUUGUUAAUCUCUAAUCCAUAUUAAUUUGGACCGAGUGAAGAGAAGUGAUUUAACAGGAAUAAGAUGGAUGAAUAAGUGUUAAUUAGUUUAUAUAUGUAUGUUCAUCAAAGACACAAACCUCAUACUUUUGUUAGGUUGGCAUGGAUUUUAUGGCUAUUAAUUGAAAAAUAUAUUCAUUGCAGUUUUAAGAAUUUUGGAAUUCUAAUUUCCUACAGAAAGCUUAACCUGAGAAUGUGAUUGGGAGCUUUUGUGUACUUCUCAGUUUUUGUACAGGCCUUUAUUUUAAAAUGCAUGCAGAGCAAUUUUUAGAUCUUCAACACAUGCCUACAUUUAGUCAUAUACACUGCUAACUAAAAGCAAAAGGUUCUACCAAGAAAAGCAUGUCAUACUGCACCAGGAAGUCAGAACUGCACUGAUUUGGUUAUUAAGCUUGCCAAAACUGGCAGGCAGCCUAGCAAAGCCCAGCUAGCAUCCUGUCUCACUUCCCAGCAGUAUGUUUUUUCUCCUCUUAUUUGGCUAUUGACAUGACUGCUAUGUAUUUUGGUAUAACUAGUUUUAAUGCUGCUAUGGUCGUGAAUUAUUUUUGAUGUUGUUAUUAAUUCUUGCUGUUGUUAAAAAAAUUUAAGUUCUAAUGUUAACAAAGUGUUUUUUUUUUUUUUUUGAUUGGCAAGCAGGGUUGAGGGGACCCUUACCUUUUUAUAUUAUGUGUGGAAACUUAUAUCACCAAUCAGCUGUUGACGUGUUUCGAACCCACAACCUCUCCACUUUGUUAGAGGGGUGCUACCAUUGAACCACAGGCUCAUUCGCAUGUUAACAAAGUGUUGAGUACCAAAGAAAUAGUGAUCAUGUUCUAGAAAAUUUGCAAGGAGUGCAACAUUAGGGCAGUAAUUGAUAUUUGUGUGAAAGAAUCGUUAAGUUGGAAUUGCAAAAAAAUCAAUUAACUACACAAAGUAAAAGAUGGGUAGAAUCUGUUUCUUUUAUAAAAAUCAAACUAAUUAGUUCUUAGAAGAGGGAGAAUAAAUAAAUCCUAAUAGAACUCAAAAACUAAACAAAUUAAUUUAUAAGUAAACCAACCUGAUUGAUUUUAGAUCAAAGAGGGAUGAGAACAAUUAUCAUUUCUUCUGCAAACGAAUUGGACAUUGAGAGGUAAUGAGGUUAGACGAAACAGGCGAAACAUUUUUGUAUACGGGAGAUAGUUCGAGUGGAGUUGCAAAGGUUGUUAAAUUGAGAUAGAGUCCAGUUCAAAUGAAAUACUUUGUGACAGAGUCCAAGUUAUACUUUGUGAUAGAGUCCAAGAUUAAAUCCAAGCCGUCAGUUGUCCACACAAACUUAUACCCGUCCUCCCUUAUAAUAUAGAU
Molecule: long non-coding RNA, 79964 nt
Filed under: Aquilegia coerulea
Lineage: Eukaryota; Viridiplantae; Streptophyta; Magnoliopsida; Ranunculales; Ranunculaceae
Description: long non-coding RNA (ACOE_LNC001786)
Rfam family: tRNA (bases 31126-31196)
Source: RNAcentral